UUUUUUUUUUUUUUUGGUUCUAUAAGAAAAAGGUUGAGCUUUACGAGGUUCAAAACGUGAAGGUUGAAUUUUGUAACUAAAGAGAAUUAGAAAGUUCUGAAAUUUGUAACGUCAAGCUUCACGUUAUUCUAGGCAAAAAGAGAAUUUUAUGACUAGACUUGUUUUUCUAGGCAAAUUUUUGUUAGGAAUAAACAUAAACAUAAACAUAAAUUUAACCUUUGAUGUUUAUUGAUUUUAUUUUUUUUGUCUAUAUUUAUUUAUUUGGAUUACAUUGACUUUUAAAAUUUUUAAAUUGUAGUUAAAUUGUUUUGUUUCGGAUAGAAAAGUUGAGUGAAUUAUUAAAAUUUUAAUACAAUUGACGUAACAAUUGUAUGGAAAUUUACGUGCACUUCGUUGAUGAGAUGGAUAUUUUAAAAAAAAAUUUAUGAACUUUUUUAAAAUUUUGUUGAAAAUUUUUAAGUACACGUGGAUUACCGUCUAAAUUACCACAUGAAUGUUGUAAAAUUUUUAACAAGUUAGGCAGUUUUUUUUUUGGUAAACAAGAACAACACUAGACGAUUACAAUAAAAAAUAUAAAAUCAAAAGUUCAAAAUAUAUUUUUGAAUUAAACCCUACACAGCUUGAGGAGAUAUGGAGAACAUCUAAAUACUUGUGAAUCAAUCCUAUAGUCAAUUUUCUAUUCGGAACAAAAGUAAUUUAACAAAAUUUUGAAAUUCAAAAACCAAAAUGAUAAAAAAGAAAAGAUUGAGAACUAAAAUAAUAAAAUAGAUAACCAUUAAAUACAAAAUUUAUCAUCAUGUAGGUCAAAAUUUGGUUUUUCUUGGAGGGGUCAACCAUUUAUUCAUAACACUAUAAAAUAUAUUGGGAGAAAAUAAAAAUAUAAAAUAUGUAUUUUACACAACACCGUCCAUAAAAGAACAAUAUAAUUAUUAUAAUAGUGUAUUUUGCCACCAUCUAAAUUCACUAAUUCUUCGCAUACUAAAUAUGUAUAUUAUUAACAUAAAAACAUAAAGACAAAACAUUUGCUAUCAAGAGCAGACAUAAAUUGUGCUACCAAGAGCAGACAAUGGAUUUUAUUUAAUAAUAUUUAUUUUUAGUAUCCGAAGAACGUAUGGAAGAGUGUUUUCUAUUUCUGUUAUAUUCAUAGAGAGACCAUGAGUUGGAGUCGAGAGAUUCAGUGUGUAGUUUCUCUUCUCAAGAGAAAAUCUUCGCUUACUUUAAUUCUGAAAUUAUUAUGGAAUGCAUUCAUUAUCUUAUGGAGAGAGAAAUGGAAGGCAUUUUAAAGGAGCUUGAGUUACAGAAACUGAAAAUUUGAUUUCCAUCAAGGAAAUUGUCCUGAUUUAGAAACGGGGGAAGAAUUGUUUGUAAUUGUUACAUUGUUUGUUUGUAGCAAUUUUAGAAAUUUAUCAUAAAGAAAAAGAAAAGUUCCAUUCAAAUUUCAGAGGCCUGUGAAAACCCAGCUUCUUCAAACUCAAGAGAAGUUAAUGGGCCUAUACAGCAUGUAUAUUGGACAAUUGAAGUCCCAAAUCAAAGAGCUGGCACGGGCCACCACGAGUGGUUGUCCGGCCCAAAUUAUCCUGUUUUUCGCGACGGCGACAACGAGCUUUGUACUAGUACUGGACGCCACCAAUCUUUGCUUUCCGAUUCCCAACUGUCAAACCUCAAGAAGUGUUUGGGGUUCCCCUUCCUCGCCAACCUCGGAUUUGUCGCUGCGGUCUAGGGUUUUCAAUUCUUGCCGCGAUUUCCGAUCUCAAUCCUUUUCUCUUUCAAAAAAAAAAAAAAAAGAAAAUCUUUAGCUGAUACUCGAUUUCGACCUGCCAAUUGUCACUUGAUCUCAUCGUUUUUCCGUCUAUUCUUCUCGGCGAUUUAGAUUAAUUAAAUCGUAACAGCAUGGUGAGAUCGCACAUUCUUUUUAUUUAUUUUAAUUUUUUUUACUUCGACUGGAUUUUGCAGUUAAGACUCUAAUAUACCUUUUAUUUGAAUGCAAUUCGAAUUUCUUGAUUUUGUUAAAUUAGAAUUUCCUGCUUGGAGCUUUCAAGCCGGCAUGCAAUAUCUUGAUCACAUUUUCCGAUGCUAAAACUCGCAAGCAGGUAUGCUUCUAGAUCACUGUGAUUGUUCAAUUUAUUUUUCACGAGUCAUGGUUCUGGAAUCUGAAUUAUUGUUAUGUGAUUAGGUCCCCAUGAAAAAGGAAAAUGGCCAAAUGGUUAUGGUACCGCUUUUCCAAAGUCAAGAAAAUAUUGCUGGGAAGGUAUUUAUUUCAACAGAUUGAGGAUCAUAGUAUUUGAGCUUUGUACUUGUAACUUUAAAUGUACUACUAUCAACCUUCAAAUUUUGAAGAUAUUUCUUUGUCGCCUUCAGAUCUCCAUAGAACCACUUCAAGGGAAGAAAAUUGAACAUAAUGGUGUGAAAGUCGAGCUUCUUGGUCAAAUAGGUCGGUCCCUGUCCCUUGUUCAGUGUGUUGAUCCCAAUUUUUAAAUAUCAUUCAGAUGUGGUAGAAAGAAUGAGGUUGAACAUUUGAGAGUGUUGUUUCUUGUCGAAUGAAAUUUAUACAAACUUUGAUUUUGCUUGCAGAGAUGUAUUUUGACAGAGGCAACUUUUAUGAUUUCACCUCUCUUGGUGAGUACUGUAGUCUGACCUUACUGUUGUUUGCUUUUCCUGGAAAUUGUUUCAACAUUCUUCAACUUAGGAAUUAAUUUCCAUUAGUUGCAUUUGGAAUGGAUGUGGGUGAAAAUAAAAACUCAAAGAGUACAGUUUGUGCUUUGCAGUUUGUGAUAUUUAUAUCCUUUUUCAGUCUGUUAAAAUAUUUUUGCAUAUAAUAAGUUCUUGUAGACUGUUGAGUUUUUGUAAUCUUUUGUAUAUUCAUAAUAUUUGCAGUACGUGAGUUGGAUGUUCCUGGGGAUAUAUAUGAAAGGAAAACUUACCCAUUUGAGUUUUCUACGGUUGAAAUGCCAUAUGAAACUUAUAGUGGUGUGAAUGUGCGGCUCAGGUAUGCUACCCACUGCUUAAACUCUUUGAAGAAUUUUGUUCAUUUUUCUUUUGAUCAAUUUGAAAAGAGUGGUUCCCUGAUCACCAAAAGUUUGUUUGCUAUGUAUUUUCAAGGAUUAUUAAUCAGAUUCUUAUCAUGAUAAUAGUUUUGGAGUACUUACCUUAAUAAAGAUUAUAAUUAUCCCGAUUCAUGUUACUAAAAGAUGCUUAUUUUGAAGUUAUGAAAUGGUUUAGUUUUGUUUGUCUGAUGACGAGGUUGUUAAUUUGAGGCUAUAAUGUGACAACUCAUCGUAUAGUAGUUUGAUUAUGCUUUCCUCAGGUAUGUCCUGAAAGUGACAGUCAGCCGUAAUUAUGGUGGAAGCAUAGUGGAAUACCAGGACUUUAUGGUAUGCAGCAUCCACUUCCUUUUCUCUUCAAUUUUUGCUUUCUUUAUCUCAUCUCCUUUUUGCUUAGCAUACUAUGGCUCCUUACUCUCAUAUGUACUAACACUAUUAUGCAAAUAAGCAUAUACAUUGUGUGCCACUAAAGGCAGAACUUAAAUUGUCUGUCAUGGUUUCCCCCUCAUACCUGAUAUGCUUCUCUUAUACACGAAAAUCAGCAUCAAUCUAUAUAGCUAUAUACAAUUUAUCGGUUAUGCAGUCUUGGCUACUUAUCUUUUGCUUGGUUUAUGUGUAUCAGGUUCGCAAUUAUUCUCCACCUCCAUCCAUCAACAAUAGCAUCAAGGUGUGUGCAAUAGUUUUAACUUAUUCUUAUGAUUAUGAACAUCAGAUUGUUUGUUUCAUCAUUUGCUAAUGAGCUGCUCACCACUGAUUUCAUUCAUAAUAUUUAAUUUUAAUGAAUAUCAAAUCCGAUCUACAGAUGGAAGUUGGAAUUGAAGACUGCCUGCACAUUGAAUUUGAGUACAAUAAAAGCAAGUAAGUCAAACAUCUAAUGAUCUUGCUUAAAUCUGGAAUAAUAGGCUGGCUUAGGUCAGUGGUCAUAUAGGAUUUAAGUUCUUGAACUUAUACUACUAUAAGAACCAAAUUUCCAAGUCACUUUCUGUGAAGUAGUUUUGACUAUAUAUUGAAGUUCUUACUUAUUGAAAUCCAAUUUGCACAGGUAUCAUCUGAAAGAUGUUAUUAUCGGCAAGAUAUAUUUUCUUCUUGUGAGGAUCAAGAUUAAGAAUAUGGAUCUUGAGAUACGGCGUCGAGAGUCAACAGGAUCAGGAGCAAAUACCCAUGUUGAGACUGAGACACUAGCUAAAUAUGAGUUGAUGGAUGGUGCUCCUGUCAGAGGUAUGUUCAUAACUUGUUUUCUUUGAAGGAUGUUGAUUUGGGCUGAAAUUUUAGUUUUAUUAAAUUGUGUAUUAUGCUCAUAUCAUGUUCUUGGUAUUGAAGGUGAAUCAAUUCCAAUCAGGCUGUUUCUCAGCCCAUAUGAACUGACGCCGACGCAUCGCAACAUAAACAACAAAUUCAGCGUGAAGUAUUACUUGAAUCUCGUGCUUGUUGAUGAAGAGGAUCGUCGAUAUUUCAAACAGCAAGAAAUUACGAUAUACAGGCUACUGGAUUCCUGAGUAAGCAUCAUAUACAUGUAAACUUUAACAUUCCAUCCAGUAAAGAAGAACAGUGAUUAAACUUGUGGUACCUUUGUAAAGCCGCGAAGCUUAGGGUUAAAACUUGAAGAAAAAGAAAAUUGCCGGAAGACAGGGUUGUUUAUUUGGAAGGGCUAUAAUGGCUUUUGUAUACUUUGCUUGCUAGAUUUCAGCUGACUCGGAAUUGAUGCAGUUAUUUACACGAGUGUAGUUACAUUUUGAUACGACCAUUAGUAGGCCGCCACUGCCGAUGAACAUUAUAGUUCAGAAUUGUCAGUACAUGUUCUGUGUAAUUACAUAACAAUUGCAUGAUUUCUUUUUCCCUUUUCUUCUCUAACCUUCAAAGGAAAACUCACUUUUUUCCGUGACAAAGCCCAAACUUCUGCAACACGAUAUAAUUUCAAAAUGUAUUUAAUAUAAAUCAUUACAACAAAAUCUUAAACACGCAAAAUACACCAAUACGUAGACUAGUCAAAUUUGUUAAUUGGAUUAGUAGAUUUGAUUUGGGUUGGGUUAAUUUGGAUUUUAAGAUUUUCGAUUCAGUCUCGAUUUUGGAUUAUUUUGAAUUUGGGCAAGUUGGGGUGGUUAUGAGUUUGUAUCAUUUUGAGCAUUGAUCUAUUUUAGUUAUUUGAUCAACUCAUUUUGACCAUGAGUUAUUUUGGGAUUUGGAUUAUAUUAACUUUAUAUUAUUUUGUGUUUGGAUUAAUUUUGAGUUCAUGUAUGAAUUAAGUUGAGUUUAUUGGUUCAAAAUUCUAAACCUUUUAGAAAUUUAAAUUUAGAAUGAUUUGAAUAUAAAAAUUCAAACCAGUGCUAUUUGAACCAAAUCGGUCUAGCUAGUUAAAUUGGAAAGUAAUUAAUAUAUCUAUUUGGAUAAUGGGUUGAAUCAACUUUUAAGCAAAUAGCUUAAAUUUAAAAAUUGAAUUAAAAAUUGACAAUUGAAUAAUUUUUUUAAAUAUUUAUAAAUUUUAAUUAAAUCGAAAACAAAUUAUUUGACGUAUUAGACCAUUGAUUUGGUUAUUAACCCAUUCACUUUCCCACCGUCGCAGGUCUCCCGACCAAAAGGAGCCUUUGUCAAAGUACAAAUGAUGCCUACGCCAUCUGAGCCACCGACACCUCCUCUUCCUUAAUACUAUUCAUAUCGGAUAACCCAGAUCCUGCCACGUGUUACAUUCAAAAUAUAAAAUUCCUAUCAAGUUGUGCCAAACGCGUACUCCGAUUCUGUUUCCCAUUUCAUCCACAGUUACUCGUCCCCAUCAUUUAUCCCACAUCCAAUAUACCCAUUACUUCUGAACACUUCAAAUUGACCCACUCCUUUUCUCCAUUAAAAGGUAAAAAUCAAAAUGCGAGCUCUUUUCAUUGAUUAAAAGCCCAACACAUUGGCUUUCGUCUUCGCAACUUCAUAUUAAAAUCUCUGCGUCCUCUCGCAGAAGGAGAAAAAGGGGAGAAAAUUUGACCGUGAGUAGUAGUAUUAGGCAGAAGAAACAAUGGAACUGUUCUAUUUCAUGGUGUUCGGUGCAUUGGGAGCAGUGGUUGCAGCAUUAGAGCUAAGCAAGAACAGCAAAGAUCGAAUCAACACUUCCCCUGCUUUCAAUUCCUUUAAGAACAAUUACCUCGUUGUUUACUCUCUCAUGAUGGGUAACUAUAUAACUCCCCCUCAUUUUUUUUUUUGUAUUUACUCAGAUCUGAUUUAAUUUCUGUCCUUUAGAUCUCACUUUUAUUUUUACUCUUAACAUGUAUCUGAUCUAAUGCUGGUUUUUAUUUGUGUGUGCGCGCGCGUGAAUCCACAACCUAUUCCCUAGAUGUUCACUUUUAGAGUGUAAUUGAAUUUUUUUCUUUUGUGAUUUGGUUUCACUUUGAAAUGGAAAACGGGAUAACCUGCAUAUGUUUCAGCUUGUAAAAGGAAAGAGUAAAGAAAAUGACUUCCAAUAAGCGUUAUGUGGAUUGUCGGUCCCUUUCUGUUUUCUGGUUGAGACAUUGGAUCUUUGUGUGUGUUGGUGAUAGGUUGCUAUUACUUGGAUAAAGAAACAACCAAAUCUUUGAGGAUGAAACUAUCCAUUGUUGUUAGAGCUUACAGUGGAAGCCUUGAACUCGUGAUUCUUGCUGAGUUUAGCACCGUUGUGUUAACUUCUUUAAUAAGUUUUGUGGCAAUAGAUGUAGGGGUGAUACUUUCUAAUCUAGGUAUCUACUUGAGAUUUAAUGGUCUGAGAUGCCAUUGGUCAUGAAUUUGAAUUGUAUCAAAAUUUGUGGUCAAUCUAGCUUUUGAUACAAGUCUUUUAUGAUGACAUAUCUGUAACGAUCUUAAUCAAAUGCAUCAUAAACAUAUUACUACUUAUGUUUGAAUGAUAACCUUCUGGAGCUAUGAUCUGGUAAUUGUGAAAGAUAACCUUCAUGGUCAUUGGGUGAUAUAUCUGUCUUGCUGUUCUGAUAAAUGGUUGUUUAUGUAUCAAUAGCUGGAGACUGGCUGCAGGGUCCAUAUGUUUACUAUCUUUACAGUACAUAUGGCUUUGGAAAAGGGGAGAUUGGACAGCUUUUUAUUGCUGGUUUUGGAUCUUCCAUGUUGUUUGGCACAAUUGUUGGAUCUCUAGCUGACAAACAGUAAGCUUUUACUGUGGCUUCUGUUGUGAUCCUGUCAUACUCAAUGAAUGAAUGUCGAAGGUUUUUUCUUAAAUGCUAAAAUACCUUUUGUUCUAUUCAGGGGCCGAAGGAGGGCAUGUGUUACUUACUGCAUAACUUACAUACUUAGUUGCAUCACCAAGCACUCUCCUCAAUACAAAAUUUUGAUGAUAGGUCGUGUUUUGGGAGGUAUCGCCACCUCCCUUCUGUUUUCAGCAUUUGAGUCUUGGCUUGUUGCUGAACAUAAUAAGGUGAGCAAUUGUUUUGUGCUCUUUACUCUUAUGCAUAUCAGUCAAGCUUACAACUUACGGCAUAUAUGUGUUUGAUUUUGUGCCCUUUACUCUUGUUUCCUUACUAUUAUGGAUGCUGUGUGUUAGUCUGUCAGGUUGUUUGCCACCAUGCCCUAUUUUGGGGGAAAAAAACAAUGACAAAGACAUUUAGCUGACAUCUCAUAUUGAAAAUGGUAUAUAGGAAAAUGCAAACUUCGAUUCUUGAACUUUCCAUCAUUGUUUUCAAAGAUGUCAAGGCAUGAACCAUCUGUUUCUGCUUAGCUACAUUCUCGCCUGCAUCACUGAUGUUGAUAUCUCCUUUAAAUUUAAUCUUGUUCUUACAAUUCUAUUUCUGCUUCUAAUCUUUGCAGAGGGGCUUUGAGCAACAAUGGUUGUCACUAACAUUUUCUAAGGCAAUAUUUCUUGGCAAUGGUCUUGUUGCCAUUUUGUCUGGGUUGUUCGGGAACCUACUGGUUGAUUCACUAUCCCUUGGACCUGUGGCUCCUUUUGAUGCUGCUGCAUGCUUUCUUGCCAUUGGAAUGGCCAUUAUUUUAUCAUCAUGGACUGAAAAUUUUGGAGAUUCCUCAGAAAAUAAGGACCUGCUCACCCAGUUUAGGGGUGCUGCUGUAGCAAUAGCUUCUGGUAGAGUUCAAUAUUUAUUAUAAACUCAUACAUUGAUCAGAUUGACAAGUUGCAGGCCAAGUACUGUCUCUUGAUGCCUUCUUGUUGUCAGUCAUCCUCCAUCGUGCAAUAAUUAUUUCCUUAGCUUUCUUUUUGUUCCCUUUAGUCUAAUUUUUUGUGCACUUCAGAUGAAAAAAUUGCUGUGCUGGGUGCCAUCCAGUCUCUGUUUGAAGGUUCAAUGUACACCUUUGUGUUCCUUUGGACUCCUGCUUUGAGCCCCAAUGAUGAAGAGAUCCCUCACGGUUUUAUUUUUGCCACAUUCAUGUUGGCUUCUAUGCUGGGAAGCUCCCUUGCAUCUCGAUUGAUGGCUCGCUCAUCACCCAGGGUAGAAAGCUACAUGCAGAUUGUUUUCGUGAUUUCCUCUGCCUCUCUCCUGCUUCCCAUUAUAACUAAUGUAUGUUCGAACAUCUCUCUCUCUCUCUCUCUCUCUCUAUAUAUAUAUAUAUAUAUAUAUCUGUAGAUUAUUCUAUUGAGUGAUUCCUAACUAUAUGGAUUGUAACAGUUGUUGGUGCCUCCUUCAAAGGAGAAAGGCGGAAGCAUCUCAUUUGCUGGCUGUCUUCAGCUUCUUGGCUUCUGUACUUUUGAGGCAUGUGUAGGGAUAUUCUGGCCAUCCAUUAUGAAAAUGAGAUCCCAGUACAUCCCAGAGGAAGCUAGGAGCACCAUUAUGAACUUUUUCCGCAUUCCUCUCAACAUCUUUGUCUGCAUCGUGUUGUACAACGUAUGUUAUAAGCUUUUCUAUAAUAGCUUUAUUUGAUCAUGUGCCAUAGACCAAACCCAAUAAAGCUUUAACUCUGUAACUAACCAGCUAAUGUUUGUUUUGGCUGUGAAGGUUAAUGCAUUUCCCAUCACUGUUAUGUUCGGUAUGUGCUCGAUUUUCCUCUUCGUGGCCUCUAUCUUGCAAAGACGAUUGAUGGCAAUUUCAGACAAGCCAAGUAUGUAUACAACAUCAUAUCACACCAAACAUCCUUCAUUUUCCUGUGUUAUCUUUCAAGUCACUUCAAGCUGUUCUCUUUUCAAACAUUUUGAUGAUUAUUAUUAUUAUUUUCUUUUCAGAGAUGGAAAAUUGGACAGCUAUGAAAGAAAGGGACCCUGAGGCAGAGCCACUAAAUGAUUGAGAGUGAUGUUUGGGCUACAUACAGGGUCACCAAGGAUUUUCUUGGUAGGUAGAAAGCAACAACAUAACUCAUUUCCCUUUUAGAGAUGCAAUUGCUACUUGAUACAGAUUGGAGGGUUUGUAUUUUGAUUUUAUGGUAAAAGAGGUAAAAAUACAGUGUAUAAGAAAAUAGGGGUCUACCCAAUAAAGAAGAUAUGAGUUAUAUAAUAGGUCAUUAUCGACUAUUCAUGAUUUGGUUUUUUUUUGGCUGUCAGUAGUUCAGCAUUAAAAAUAAUUAACCAAGUUUCAAAAUCUUUCUGAUUUUGAUAUUAUUCUUUUUUUCUAGAGUGCUUCAUAAUUCUUAAUGGGUACUUGGUUUAGAUUUUUUUUUAACAUAAAGGGUAAGGGUAAUUUUUGUCCAGAAAUUGAAUAUGAUGUCAAUCGAAGACUUGAUUUUAUGUUUUAUGUUUAAGUUGAUUAAGAUUCUUGAUAAGAUAUAAUCACUGAUUUCAGAAUCGAACUGUUUGGAUAGAUUGGUUGGAUAAAAAAUCAUAAGAUAUCGGUUCAGAAUAAGAGUUGGAAUGGUUAACUUGUGAAUCGAGUACUCGAUUGGUCGAAUCGAUUGAAUUGAAAAUUAAAUUAGUUUAAUUUUUUUCUUUUAAAUAUUUUAAAUAAUUUAUUCAAUUAAUUGAAUAAACUCCAUCCGAUUAUUUUAGAUAUAAUUAGUUUUUUAAAAUUUCUCUUCUUUUGAUGAGUAGGUGAAAAUGGUUUUAUUUCCAAAGUCAUAAUACGCACUAAAUUACUCCAUGUAGAAAGAAAGAGAACAUUAGAAAUGCCAUCUAUUUACUCGAUUCACUCAAAGCAAUGUCUAGUUUUAAGCCGGACAAGAUAUUCUCGCUCGGCUAGACGUGAUAAAGCCUGUUAUAUAUAAUUAAUCUAAUAUAUUAAUUAAUAUGAUUCUGACUAUCAUUAAUAAUUAAUUAAUAUUAAAAUUUUGUUGUAUAUAUAAAUAAAAUAAAAUAAAAUUUAAUGUCAAUUUUGUUAUAUAAUAAAUAAUAAUUUUGUUAGUUUAAAAGUGUUUCUAAUUUGUAUUAAUGUGUUAUAUAAAACAAAAUUGAAAUUCACUCUAAAUUUGGACUUUUAUUUCUUAUCAAUUUUAUUUUUUUUACCAAUAUUAAAAAUACACGAUGGAGGUUUGAGAUUUGUAUUAGUUCUUUUUCCUUGAAAAAGGGGUAUUUAUAAGAGGAGGGCUUGAUGUGGGCAACUCUAUCAUUAUCACUUCUUUAAUAAUCUGGAUAUACGUUGGUGAGCUUAAGAAACCGAAAAGAUUAAAAAGAUUAGAUCUGACGUAAUAACUAUCCUUGGUGACGAUGCUCGUGCACGUUAAUUUAAUAAUGCAUAAACUAAAUCGCAGAUGAAAGUACUGACUAUCGCCACCACAAAAAUUUAGAAUUCUUAACUAAAUACCAAACCGAGCAGCAAUCAGGAUACAAUAAUAAUUCAUUUUCUAUAAGAAAGAAAGAAAGAAAGAUUCAAUAAAUCACAUAAAUUAGAUCCUUCAUCCAAUCCAUGACGAUUACAAGUAUACGAAAACUUGUCCUCUCAGGCACUUUGGGUCGACGACCCCCCUAAAAUUUUGUGUACAUUAUCCAAAAUUACAUAUAUCCAAUACUUUUCAUGGUCUUUUGCUAGUUUCUACAAUGACUCUGCAAAGCUCCAUGAUUUUUUCUUAAAAGCCGCUCAAAGCAGGCUUUUCUUUAUCUAUUGCUUUCAUUCUUAGGAAGUAGUGACAAAGCAGAUUGAAGUGAGUUCCCUAACUUGUCUCUCAAGCUUGAAACUGUGUUCUUCAAUGGUUCGUAACAACUCGUUUCAUCAAUCUUGUUGUGUUCUUGUACCUGGAAUUGUCUCUCCAAGUAUCUUCUAAGACUUGCCUCUGCAACGUUGAUGAGUCUAAAUGAAGCAUUUGUGUGCAUGAAUUUUGUGAUCAUAAAUCCUGCUAGAAUCAGCUGAUCUGCCUUAACGAGCUCCAAUAUGAAUGUGGGGAACAAGAUUCUUGCAAAUAGAAACAAGAUGUCUCCCUUGGUGUUUCCAUGUUCAUUGCUUCCUUCCUUUCUAAGCUUUGGCAAUUGUGCUUCUUGGAACUGAUGAGAGAAAUUGCCUACUAAAUAGCAGACAUAGGAGAAAAUAGUGCCGAAGGAAGAUUUGUUGAUGACAGUUGAUAAAAUCCCUGAGGAGAGGAUUAGCGUUAAGAACUCGUGGUCGUUGGCAAUGUCAGAAGUACCUUGUUUCAUCUUGUUUUCGAGUGCAGUCAAAGACUCCACCUGCAACCCUUCAUAAGGAAGUAAAAGCAUCAUCUUUGAAGCCAUGAAACAAUCCAUUCCGAGUACGAUGUCAUUCAAGUUCCUUGCAUCGCCUUCAUCAAGUAAUACUCCACCGGGUUUUGAUAUGGAUUGGUCAAUCAGCUUUAAGACAUCUUUAACUCGAGAUGCUUUAAUAAGGAGCUUGAAAAUCUCUGUCCAAGACUCGUGUAAAGGAUGGAUCAAAAGCGAAUCCCCUUUCUUUUCUCUCUCCAAAGGUUCAAUUUCCUGAAAGCUCUCCCAUCCUUCAUCCCAAUCAUCGCUCCAGCUAUUUUCUGCAUUAGAUAAUUCUGGAGAGGCUUCCUCUUCUUUCUUAAUCAUGAAAAGCCCUUCCCACUCUUCCAAAAUGACUACCAAAACAUCGAGAUGAGGAUCUGCAUUGGCAAUGGCACACAAUUUUAAGAAGCAAGAAACUGCCGUAUCAACACUUGAUAGGUCAUCGGGGGUGAUUUCAAAGCCAGGAGAAAUGGCUGCCAUAAGUUGAGAUGAUCUCAGGGCAACUAAAGUACUUGUAAACCUGCUGGAAGUAUCUAUUUGCUCGGGCAACCCAUCAUUUGAAGUAAUUUGGCUCUUGUUAUUAGCACAUAGUGACUCAUCCCACCCUACCCAUGGAUGAACAUUUAGCUGCAGCUCAGAAGAUAAACCCUUCACACUUUUACCAGCGAUAAAUUGCAUAAGCUCUAAGACAUGAACUCGAACAUUACUAGCUAGCAGCAAAUCUUCAGAGAAUCUGGCAAGUCUUUCCCAAACUGCACACCUGACUUUCUUUAACUCGUUGAAAUCACCCUCUAAAUUGCUCAGAGAUGAUAUCAACUGAUAUAAUUUCUGGUGUUCCCGAGAUCCAUUAGCCAAAUCCUGUAAAAUUGGUUCUAGCACUUUUAAAUAAAGAUGGGAAAGAUUCUGGAACUCAGUUUCAGCUGAUGCAGUUACAGUGGUUGCAUGGUGUUGCAGUGCUUCAACAAAUACUUCUGAAAUAGUGGCGAAACCACAGCCAGAAAAUAUCAUAGCUCUGCAGAAAGUGAAAAUGUCUCUAGAAGGGUCACUGAUUAAACCAUUUUUGACAUAGUCAACAAUGGUGCUCCAGCUCUGACUAGGAGAAACAGAGUCCUCCAUUACCAACCUCAUGAAAACCUUUAAACAACUCAUUAAGCAACCUGGGUGGAACUUGAUUUUCUCUACAGAAAUCUCGGCGGAAGCAAAUUCUUGCAUUUCUUCGGUCAACCUGAUCCAGAAAUUCAAAAGGAAGAUCAAGCAGUCUUGCCAUGUCGAGUUAUCAGGUAGAUUCUCAUAUGCACCAUCUGGAGGUAAGAUUACAAUGAAAUAUUGCUUCAUAAUAUCCAAUGCCUCUGAAGGUUCUAAGAGUAUAAUAUGUUUUCUACACAAGUCAUAUAUAUGCUCAAGUUCACUGCUUGUGUUCAGAAAAGUUUCAGGGUUCUUAGUGCUAAACUCUGUUCUAAAUCUAUCAUUCAAUUUUGUCAAUAAACGCAGUAUAUAAUGUUUGCGGACAUCCUGCCACGAUAUGAGACCCUCAGGCACUGGAUCCCUGUAGACACUGACCAGAGUCUUUACCAUUUCAGACAAAGCUUCCAAGCUAAAUUCAUUGGUAUGAGCAUAGACUUCACUACUGAAACACUGCAGAUUCAAACCACCUAAUCCAGUAAUAUUUUUGAAGUUUAGGUCUUUCACAAAGGAAAUUCUUUUACAUUCUUCCUCAAUAACCUUGUAAUAAUGAACUAAUCCCAAAGAUAAUGCAUGUGUUUGAUCCGAGAGUAUCAUUGGUAAAGGUUCUUUGCUUUCCUCUAACUUCUUAUAGCAGUCAGAGAGGAGGCUAUAGAUGUAAGCAAGGCGGUGCUUAUUACAACCAUCAACUGCAGGGUAUACGAUCAAUGAUAUGGUUUGGAUAGUUUCAGCAGCAUUAUCAAGUAUUUCUCCCUUAAUUUCUGAGAUCUCAGCCAUGAUGUCAUCAUUGGUCCAGAUCUCAGAAAUAAGGAUUGAAGUUAAGUACCUGCGUAUUACCUGCAAAAGAAAAAAAAAGGUCAUUUAAUGGCUUAGAAGGGCAUACCAUAAUAAUCUACCAUUUUGAGCUAAGAAACAUAUACAUGCACGGCCACAUACCUCAGCUCUGUUUAGGCCAUAGGUAUCAGCCAUUCUCAAAAUAUCCUUUAAAAUGUGCUUCUUCUCCAAUGUCAAAGAUUCAAUUAGAGAAAAAAUGACACUCUCAAUGUAACUGGCAUCACCAGACAGAAAACGUGUAGUUUCAACCCCAGGAAUUAUUUGCUCUAAGAAUCUAGAAUGUUCUGUGACACGCUUUUUCUCUUCUAAUUUUAGUUUCCAUUCCCUCCAAAAUGAGGAUUGUACUGCAUCGAUCCUAUUUAUGUCAUCUGAAAACAAGUAAAACAGAAAAAAGGAACAUCAUUGCAUGAAAGUGCAUGUAGGAUAGUGCAAGCAAAAUUAUGUGGUCUGGUUUAAGCAGUUAACUACAGGAACUAAGUCUAUUACCAGCAUUAAGUGGCUUAUUCUUUUCUCUAAACUUCCCGAGUAGCAGCUCUCUCCUCUGAGUAGGACCUUCACAAUCAACUCCAGUAUUAUGUAAUAUGCUAUAGGUCAUUCCAACAUUCAUAAUACUACAUGUUUCGAGGUAGUUUUCCCUUGUUCUCAGCUGCUCUUCAAUUACUUGUACACCACUAAAAGCAUCCACAAGAUUUAAUAGGAAGGAACAACCAAUGACAUCUUCCUCGUCAGUAGCUGGCGGUUCUAAAAUUGAUUUUGCCAGAGAAGCAAUCAAAUCGUCUCUAGGAGCAAAACCAUUCCUCGCCAACCAGGACAAAAUAGUUAUCACAGUUUGUGUUCUUACACUUACAUAUGGCUUCCCAGGAAUCAAGCCAGAAGUAAAUUUCUUACUGUAAUCUUCUUUUCUAGUUAAUUCAAGCAACCAUGGAAGUUGUAUUGCAGCAAAAGAUAAAAUCUUUCCAUUUUCUUGCAAAAUCAGAUCCCAAUUUGUUCCAUUUUCAACAGGCAGAUUUUUAGCAACAAGAGAAAGCGUAUUUUUAAUGCUACUGAAAUGAUUUUCUUGAUCAGCACCAUUAAACCCAUCAGCCAGUUCAGAUGAAUUUUUCAGGUCGACAAUAUCUUGAAUACUGUAACCUGGAAGUGAGAUUACGGAGGAACCUUGAAUGGAGAAAUUCGGAGCAUUGGUCCCUGUCAACGUCAUCAAAGUCUCACACUGCCCUUGCAUGUCUAAAUCUUUCCAUGCAAGGAGCAACUCACUAAUUGACUCCUCAUCACAAUGGCUCAAAGCAAAACCCAGUAGCUGCUUUCGAGAACUAAUGUCCAUAUUCUCAAGAGGACCCCUUGCUAGAGCAGCACAUAAAUCCCAAACAAGACCAUGACCCUUUUUGGCCAGAACAAGGCAGAGAUCAAAGGCCAACUGCAGAUCACCUGAAACUGCAGCUUCCCUAGCAAUAACUUCCUCCACAGCUGAUAUUUCAUCCAAGGAGCUCAAUCCAAGAAGUUUGGCAACCUCAAUUAGUUCAUCAACAUGUAGAUAAGCUCCAGCUUGACUUGUGACUGCCAUUUUAAUAAUUUCCAUUGGAUCUUUUAUUUGCCUAAAUUGCACUGGUAGAAGAGUCACUCCAAGGUAUGGAAGUUUAACAGUAAGUGCAUCAAUAAUAUCAGCCUCUGCUUUAACAUUUCUGCUACUUGGAAAUAAGUUCAGGCAUUCCUUAGCCUUCCAGAUCUGAAACAAGUUAAAGCAACACAAUCAAUUUUUUGUUUUCUGAAUGAAAAACAAAAAGAAAAAACAGUAUAUUUCAUUCCUUUUGACAUCAUUGAACCACAAUAUGAAUUUAUGCUGUCAUCAUUGAAUCACAAUAGCUCAAUCAGUUGAACAGGGAUUCGAUUGAUUUUAAUGAUCAUAACAGAGGAAUCAUACAUGAGAUUAAUCUUUUAGAAGGAUACCAGAGUUUUGGAUUAUUAAGCUAUUCCUGUAUAAACUAAGCCAUAAAAGAUCAUGAACUGACUCCAAACUUACUUCAGAGCAAGACAGACUUGAAGCUGAGAAGAAAUACUCCCUUGCAGCUUGAAUAACAAGAUUUUCUGCUUUUUCUGUUGCCAAGGAUGCUGAACUUGUACCCCUUAAGUAACUUCUUGCAAGAGAAAACUUCCCUGCUUUUAACAGUCCUCUACAGAACUCUGUUAACAGAUAUUCAAGGUCCAGAAAAGGAAAAGCCUUCUCCUGCAAGCACAGCAUAUCACGCCACAUGUUUGCCCACUCAUUAUCAGAUCGGCCAGGCUGACGGCGGAUAAAUUUUGAGAGUAUGAGGCGAAUAAUCUGUUUUACACCUUUUUCAUCAGAAUGGGCUUCUAAGAAAAAAUUCAUUGGUUUUGGGACCUGUAGAAAAAUAUCAUCAACAUAGACUUAGUCUACCUAUAGCAUUGAGCUCUGCAGGAUAAACACCUCAAACUGAUGCUUAAAAGGGAAACAAUUUGAAACAAAAUUCACACUCACAUUUGUCAUGAUAAAAGCAUAGAAGAAUGAAGACAAACCUGGUAAAAGGCCAAAAGUCUCCCUGCUUCUAUAUGGCCUUCUGCCACUUUACAUCUUUGAUCAAGGAUGCCAAUGCAUAUUUCAGAAUCUGAAUUAAUUAUAGAUGGAGAAUAAGAGCUCAAUGUGACAAAACUGAGGCCUAAAGUUAUAAAGGGAUCUGGAAUCAAAGAAGAGACGGACCCAGGUGGAGAAAUGGAAACAACUCAAGCCCUUGGAGGAUGAAAAGGAGGAGAAAGACAGAGAACCAGAGCAUAUAUGACUUCUAAAAUCUUAAUUCACUCAAAACUCUCCAUCUUACUUACAGCCCUAAAUUAAACCUUAUAUAGCCUUAUUUCCUAAAGUAAAAGAUUUUUAAAUGCCACUAAUAUAAUCCAGCAUGGAAGGACCUAACCAGUCUGUGCACAAUAUAAGGACACUACCAAGAUGAAAUGAAAAUCAUAAUUCAUUCCAAGCCCCUUCACACUUUGUACAAUCAUGUGAAACUGAUUAAUGAUUAACAACAAAAAGAAAAACAGAUUGGAAGUAAUAAAGUAGAAUAUUUUGAGCGAGUUGGGUCCAUUUGAUGCAGAAACUACCUUGCUUAUGCGGAAGCUUUGAUAAUAUUGCAGACAUGGUACUCCACCUAUCUGUAACUGUAAAUAAGUAUACACAUUGCAGAGCACAAUCUACAACUUCAACCUCAUUCUUGAAGAAGCCACAGCUUUGGAGCUCCCUGCACCCUUCCUCAAUAACCAUCAAGCAUAAAUCUAAUUUAUUGGCCAAAGAUAUCUCUUUUAGCCAUCUAACCAGAAAUGACUCACCCUUAGUAUGAUCUACUUCGGAAUGGCCAUCUGCAGUGUGCUGUUGGGUAGCCAAGGUAACACUAUGGGACCUUUUGUGCAUAAAUGGAAUUGCCUUAUUCCGUAAUGAUUCAACAACAUUUUCCUCUUUGCACCUUUGAAGCAUUGUUCUAAAUUUUUCAUAGUCAGAUAAUUGUUCCCAUGCAACAAGACUCAUGCUGGUACUUAUCUCACCAUCAUUAUCAGCAUAAACCAGUUGGUGCAGGUAUGAGAUGUCCUCAUGAAACUGCUUUAACCCAUAGACACCCUUCUGGCAAGCAAAGUCAAUCAAGCAGAGGCAGUUGUCCAGCAACCCACUGUAGGAAUCAAUAUCUCUAGCUCUAUUCUUAUACCAAACUACAAGGUCAUCUGUUGAAGGCCAAAAAGAUCCUAGCAAUCUCUUGACAACAGGUUCAGUUCUAAUUUGACUCCCAAUGUCAUGGUUCUCGGGUAAUUUAUUAAUAAAACUUACCAUUUUGUCACAUUCAACCCAAUCUUCUUCCCUCAUAGCAGUACUUGCAGGAGGAGACUUUCCAGGAAGCAGCUGCGCAUAUGUUUGCACAGGAAUUGUUUCCGGAAUAGCGGCCAAAAUAUCUAACAUGAAAUGAACAAGUGAAUAAGGAUGACGCUUGAACAGGAGGUUUAAAGCCCCAAUUUUCCCCGUUUCAGCAAGUGCAAUGGCUGCUUCAUUCAUUGGCAUAACACGGAACUUGCUGUAUUCCUGCACGGAAAACCUACAAACCCCAUGUCAUUAAACCAUCGAUCAGUAGAAACAAAAGAAAGUGGAAACCUCUAUACAUUCAAAACUAGAAGUAGCAUGUGCAACUAUUAAAAGCUGGAAAGCACAUACCUGCCCAUGUUUAUCCCAAUAAAUGUUUCCAACCUGUCAUGGAAUUGCAACAGCUGAAGUCUAGACAUACGGAAAUCCCAAAUCUCAUCAGAUUCUUGGCUGUUUGAUUCAGAGAAUUUGUAUCCGUUAGUUAACUGCAGGCCAAAUGCAAGUAAAGCCUUUGCUACUUCUUCUGAUGACCCAACUUUAUUUACACACUCAGAAAGCACAAAAACUUUAUCUUUAAUGUUUGACAAGAAGGCAUGUAUGUCGUUUAUUCCUUGGCCAGAACCCAACCACUGUGACUUUAGAACUUCAUCCCUAUCCAAUCCAUGACGGUCAGCAAAGUCCAAGGCAGCUUGAUGCUUAGAACUACCAAUUAGUAUCUUAAACAUUUCAGGAACAGAUCUUUCUGAGAAAGAUCUCAAACUCCAAUGCAACUUAGAAAUGUCAGAUAGAUUGGAUCCAUUUUCAGAAGUUUCCUCUCUUUGAUUCAAGUCAUGUGUUAUUCUAUUACUAUUAGAUAAAUCAAACUCAUUUUCAGAUGAUAAACUCUCUAAAACAAAAAGAUAUCCUUCAAACUUCUGUACCCUUUCUACAACAGGCUGAGAAUAUAUAGGUUCAUUCUCUAUUAGUUUCAGACCACUAAGAAUGUCAAGCAUGGUAACAAAGCCAUUUCGUUUACCAAGAGUAAGAAUGUGGUCAGACCACCAAGUAAAAUCAACAAUGUCAGCUAAAAUUUCUGAGCAUCCAUUUAACAGUUCAUCAGUCACUUGAGAAUUAGUUCUCACUCUGAAAGCAAAACUCGUAACCAAACAGCUUUCUUUAUCCAGCUUAAAGAUAUGCAAACAUCCAUUCAUAUCCAAAGUGGCAAUAUAAUUUCCUUGGGGUGAGAUUAACACCUUUGGGUAGGCAAGAUGAGCUGCAUAACCUUGUUGCUCACCGUAAAGGCCCUCAAAUUGAGUAGAGGCUACAGGCUCCAAAACCAAAUCCUGACCUUUACGCCAAAGAGAAAGAUAACAGGAUCCUAUAAAGAAUGAUAAAAAGGAACUAUUAAGUCUUAAACUAAAAGGUGAUAAUGGUAAAAGUUCAUCUGCUCAUCCAAUCCUCUAUCAUACAGGUACAAAUGCUUCUUUGAUUAAGUUUAGUACUUUUAACAAAGCCUAGAAGAUUUGAGACAUGCAACAUAAUGGUUUAAAGACAGUUCAAAUUUAAGAUCUGAGUUUUCAUUUAAGGUCAAGGAGAAUAAAGUAUAUAACCAUACCAGAUUUCCUAUCAGCAGUAAUGGAGUUGCCACCAGCACUACCAACAACAACAAGCAAAGAAAGUUCUGGACAAUAGUCAAAGCAGAAAACAUUUCGAGGGAAUUGCUUUUUUAAAGCUAAGCCACUGUUGAUUGUAGAGGAGGAAAUAGAGGCACUUGGCUCUUGAUUGAUCUCAAUUUGAUGAAAAGCUCCAUCAGAUGUCAAAACGGUGAAGCUACACCUGAAAACAAGCCCAUUAAAUACAUGCAUGUAGUAAUUCUUCACCUUCUAUAGUACUUUAAUAUAUUUAGAAAUCCAAGCAACAUGAUCAUCAAGCAAAAGUUGUUAUAUGAAUUCAUACCGGAAAUAAAACUAGCAUGAGUGAAACAAAAGCUUACAAGAAAUACUGUUUUACAUCAGACUCAUCCGGUGCAAUCAGACCUAUUACUUUUGAAGAUACUUUUAGAUGUCUUGUAGUAAUCCUUGUUAUCUCUUCACCAUUUGCUUUAAUAAAAUACACUACAUCAGCAUCAUCAACGAUUCCAAGGAUAUCAUGAGAUUCUGACCAAGCUCCACAUGUACACGAAAUAAUGCUGUGACCUGAUGCAUAGAAGCCAAGUUGGAGACCAUUAUAAACUGCAAGGAACAGCUUCUAUAAAGAACUUAUAAUUCUAACUUUAACCAAAAAGAAAUAUAUUUUCUUCUGCCUCAAGCUAUAACAUGGAAUGAGUACAAUCUUAUACCAAGAACUCUUUUCCUGUAAUCAUCACGAGUUUCUUGUUAUGAAUCUAAAUCACCCCGAACCUUUUAUCUUUCUAUCAGUAAAAAGAAUCUAAAUAUAUGUUCAUCAGAAAAAUAAUUGAGCAUAAAUUAGAUAACACAAAUCUUACUUGUAAAAAUGCCAAAAGGUUCCUGGUAAUCAUCCUCCUUGCGCAAUAUAGUGACUUGAUUUCCAGCAGCCACAGCGACACGCUCACCUCUAGGGGAUACAAUCAAUGACACUGGUUUUUUUAUUUUCUUCGGAUUCUUAUUGCCAACCAAUUUCUCUUUCAGCUGACUUACACCUUCACUCAACAAAAGAAUCAAUUUUUUAAACAAUUCUAUCAACUACAUAUAUUAUACUAAAAACAAAAAUAGUUACUAAUCAUAUCAGUAUCGCAAUUGAAUUACACAAAAAAGAAUAAAGGUGUUUAAAUAAUUAAAUCUAGUAUACCUCGAGAGGAAAGAAACGAUAAGAAACCGCCUUUAUCAGCUUCACUUGACUGAAUUUAGAGAAGAAAAAAUAGAAAAUUGUAAAACUGAGCUGAUUUGUAAGAAUAAAAUAAAGUUAAAGGAAAAGAGGAGACCUGUUGAAGAGGAAGAGGAGGAUAAUUGGAAGUGAAAGGCCGGGAGGCGUGAUGACGUGCUUCGAAUAGCACUUCUCUAACAGAUUCCUCCAUGGCCGGUGCCUUGCGCCAGCUACUGUCCCUCUGUUCUUCAAGAUCUCAAUUCAAUUACCCUUUUUUUUCUCUUUAUUACAUAAAAAAUUAUAUAGAUGAAGAAGAUGAUGAAUCGCAGAACAAAUUACUUGGGAAAAUAACGGGUUGAAAAGGGAAAAAAAACAACAAAAAGGCUAUGAAUAAGACAGCCCAUCUUGGCUGGUCGUUUAAUUACUGCUUCUAAAAAGGGGCCUCUUCAGCCUAAAUGGGCUUUAGAAGCUUUUUCUUUCUCAUUUAGGGUUCAUUAGGCUGCAUACAGUAAAUGAGCUCCAUCCAGAUUUUAGUCUUCAAUCGAAGAGAUCAUGUUAGAGCUGAGAAGAAAAAUCGAAAAAUGGAAAACGAUUUGAAUCUGUUAAGAAAUGGGUAAAAAUAGCUUGUAUACUAGUUAUUCAACUCGAAUUAUAUUUUUAUUUAAUUUAUUAAUUUGUUAUGAAUGUAAAAUUUAUUUUAUAUUUAAAAUAGUAAAAAAUUAACCUUAAAACAUUAUAUAAAAAAUUGUUUUUGAAAAGAUUCUAUAUAAAUAUAUAAUUUAUGGCACAACUAGCCAUAAUGAAUUUCAAUUUUUUUUAAACAUCGCGUAAUAAAAAUUUUAACUAUUAAUGUUUAUAAUUUUGUCAAUUUGACAUUUAUUUGGUAGUUAAAUUUGACUAUCACCAUUUAAAGAGAGUCAAAUUUGACAAUCAAUCUUUUAAAAAAAGCCGAAUUGAUGUUGAAUUUUAAACACGAUAAUCCAAGUGUACUUCAUACUAAUUUUGUUGAAUUUAUAUAUAUUAUAAUUAUGAGCUUUUAUUUUAUUUUUUAUUUUUAUAAAUUUUCAAUUAUUUAUUGAUGUGGCCUAUAUGACAAAUAGUAUUAUGUCAAAAUAAAGUACACGUGGACUAUUACGCAUACAUCGUUAGUCAAUAUUUUCGUUAAAAAAAAUUGACUCUUUAUUAAAGAUUAAUGGUCAAAUUUAACUCAAAAAUUAAUAAAGAUCAAAUUGACAAAAUAUAUAAAUAUUGAGACUUAAAUUUAUCUUAUACUAUAAAAUAUUCAUUUUUUAAAAUACAACGAUAUAAUGCCAACCAAACAUGUCAAAAUAAUUAGAAUUACUUGUACUAACAAUUCCUUAUAAUUAUAAAUUUAGUAGUUACACUUUUUUACAACUACUUGAUAAAAAUAUGAUUGAAGCCCCGAUAUUAGGUGUCUAAUUAUAUUUUAUUUCCUCUAUUUAAAAAAUGGACAAAUCAAUCAAUGUACAUUAGAUAAAAAAGCAAAUUGAUCUCCUUUUUUAAUAAAUUUAAUCCAUUUUUAUUGUUAGAAACUAAUAUGACUGAUAGAAUAACAAAACAAUGACGUGUGAUGUGUUAUAUAUACUUCAUGCUAAUAUAUAGAAACUAUUUUUUAAUAAUAAAAAUAAAUAAAAAUUUUAACAAAAAAAGACCAAUUUACUAUUUAAUCUAAUAUGAAUAGAAUAUAUUCAUUUUUUAAAUAAAAAACAAAAUACAAUUUACCUAUUAAUACAAGUAUAUCGAUAAUACUUUUACCCAACUACUCCAUAAUAUCCAAAUAUAAUCUAAUAACCGUAGUAUUGAAACACUUAAAAAAAUUAGGGACCACUUCUCAUUCAUCUUUUUUUAUUUAUUUUAACCCAGAUUAUUUACACGAAUUAGCACUAACCUCGCACUGAUACAGCCCACUAUUAGUUCCCAUGCAUACAUGCCUGACUGAACUUUACCUGACUUUUUUUUAUCUAUAAUCGAAUCUAUUCUAAGCCCUACGAUUUUAUAAAUCCACCUUUACCAAACAAAUCAGCUAUACAAUCUUUACAUUUUCAAUUCCGGGUGUGGUUGACGGCCGCAGCCGGCGGCGACCUCAACUUUCCCUAUUGACUUCGUAAGGAGCUAUAUAUAAUGGUGAUAUCCGUAUUCAAGAUUGUAUUAUAUCAUAUUAUGUUUUAUAUAUAUACACAUAAUCUGAUUAUGGGACAUUCAAAAUAUGUAUAAAAAAUUACAUGAUAAAUUUAUAAUAAAAUAAUUGACAUAUAAAUCAAGUACUUUGGAGGUAUUUAUAUUAGGUAUUAGAUUACAUUUUGUCUCUUCUAUUAAAAAAUAAGCAAAUUAAUCAUUGUACGUUAAAUUAAAGAGCAUUUUGAUCCUUCUAUUAAAAAUGUCAUCCAUAGAUGCUGUUAAAAAUUAGUCUCUAUAUAUUAGCAUAAGUUACACGUGACACACCAUAUAUAAUUGUUUGGUUAUUCUGUCAGCCACGUCAUUUUUUUUACAUGUUUAUUACAAGGCUAUUCUUUUAUUUACUUGGCUACAAAAUAAGUAUUUUUUUUAAAUUUCAAAAUGUUCCAUAAAAAAUUUAACAAAAAAAGUGGCUAUGUUAACAACUGGACUUGAAUUUUGAAAUAUACAAAGUAAAGGGACUAAAUUUCUGAAAAUAAAAAUAGAGGAAUUAAAUUUUAAAUUUAUGAAUAAUAAAAAUUUUAGUUAACAUAUGAUAAAAUUACACUUUAACUCCUCUAAAAUGAAAAAAUAUUAUGUUUAGUCCCUUUAGAAUAAUAAAAUUAUAUUUUGAGUACUUAAAAAAAUGUACCUAUUUUGGAAUGUAACCCUUAGAAACACCUGUAAUAUGAAUUGACUGCUAUAUAUUCUUGAUAUCUCUUCAUUUUUCACUGUCUAAUAACAUGACCGGAAAGGAAAUAAUAAUUGUUUAUUAGAUCAAUGCUUCUUCUUUUAUCAAGAACCUCUCGCAUGACACACAAAUUGUCUUUGUUCUUUCGUUAAUGUGACACCUUUGCUCGAUUAAGAAAGCCAACUAAUCAGAGUAAGAGGAACCUUUGAAUUUCUCAAAAAAAGCUGUGGAAGGAGAUGAGGAUUCUUGUCUCUUAACAAAAGGAUUACUUGGUUUAGAUUUCCUUCCAUUUCUUGUAUCGUCUAAAACUGAUUUUUCUUCUCCUUUUUUAAAGAAAGGAUCCAAUAUAAGAAAACUUAUACAAAUGUUUGCUAACAACGCUUUGACAUUAACAUUUUAGGUUCGACUUUUAUAUUGCUUAAAUUAUGUGUGAGUUGUCUUCACUUUUAUUAUGGUAUGAUUUAAGUUCUAUUCAACUUUUUCUUUUUAAAUUCAAACAGAUUAAAUUAUCCGAGAGGUCUCUGUAUUAUAGAGACUGAAUCAAUUAAUUUAAUCCUUAUGCUAUUAAAUAGAAUUAUAUAAGUUUAAAUUGUAAUAGAGUUAAUAUUUAUUGUAUAAAAAAAUGUAUUGAAAGUUAUUCUUUUCAAUUAUAGUUCAGUUCCAAACAAAAGAUUUCAUUUACGAAACAAUAAAGACUUCAAAAAUAUUAACUCUAUAAAUGAUAUUUUUUAUGGGUAAUUAUUUGAUAUAUCGCUAGUCAAGUUUCUUAAACUCCACAAAUGGGUUAAGAGUGUGACAAAUGUCACAUUUAUUUAUGUAAAUACUUUUUUUAUUCUUUUACUACACAUUAUAAUACACUUGUCAAGCCCUUAACCCACUUGUGGAGUAUAUAAAAUAAUUUUUCAUUUUUUAAACAAUAAAUGUUAACUCUAUUAACCUUAUUUUAUUCUCUUUAAUAGUAUAAAUACUAAUUUAUUCUAUUUAAUAAUAAAAUAAUUAAUUUGAUUAAAUUUUUAUAAUAGCGAGACUCUUCGUAUUAAUCCUACUUGAUUUUGAUUUAAAUGUAUAUUCCUUCUACCUAUACUUGUAAAUCUUAAAAGUUAUUUUAUUCUUAUUUAGUAUUUUUUAUUAAAUAACGAUAUUGGAUUCCAUAAAUUUGAAAUUUAAAUUAAAUUCUGAAUUAUUUUAGGUACUUAAAAAGAAAAUAUACACAAAAGAAAAUUCAAGCACGUGAGAGGCUAUAGUGGAAUGUGUGUUUUAAUUAUAAACACAGCUGUUCAUGAAUUUAUAUCUACCUAAUUCUCUUCUCUGUAUAUAUAAUAUAAUACUCGAGGCUCAACCCUAGACAGAGGGGAAGUACGGUGUUUCCAAGACAAGCAGCUGUUGAUAAAAAAAACAUUAACAUAUUUUAUCCUAUCCAUGUAACUUUAUGUCUUUUCCGUUCAAUGACACCCAAUGAACGUUCGAACCAAAUUGGAACGCUACAAAGUGGGGGGGACCUUCUUCAUCUCUUUUUGUAUAUAUAAAAUUCUAAUUAUUCAACCAACUUUCCGACUUUGAGAAUCAACCGUGCUAUAUUAUUAUGUGCAUAUAUUAGUAGAUAAUUUAAUUUGAUUGAAUUGGUUCUCAAUUAAAAAGAAUAUAAUAUUAUUAUAUUAAUUGAUAACAUUUUAAAAAUAUUAAAUAAUUAAUUUUUUAAUUAUUAUUACAAGCCGAUAAGAUUUUUAUAUUAAAAAUUAUAUUAUAUUUAAAUUAAUUAAUUUUUAUACGUUAGAUUAAAAUAAUAAAUUAAUUUUUUAUUAAAAAAAUUAUUAAUUUUUUACUAUUAAAAAAUUAAUCAUUGUAUGUUAGUAAGAGACACGCGCAUUUUUUCCCAUAAAAAUAGAUAAAAAUUUCUGUUAUAUAAUCUAACAAGCAGUAAAAAAUCUCAAUAAUAUUUUUAACGAUGGAUGGCGCAUGCUUUUUUCACUGUUGGUGAUGAUCGGCUCGAUGAUCGGUGGGUCCGCCAUGACACGUGCAUUCGUGUUUAUACUAUUCCUACACAUGUACGUGCGAAUCAAUGACUAAAUAAUAUAAGUGUAGAACCAUACUGGAAAAUGGAAAGCAUCAUUUUGCACACAUUUGUUGUUGCCCAUUCUUUUUUAUAGUCAUUUACUUUUUAAACGAAUACAUGGAUUUAUUUACGUUAGAAAAAUAACUAUUUUUAUUAUAAUUGAAAAACUAUUAUUUUUAUAAGAUAAAGUUAAUUAUAUAAAAUUUUACUUAAACAUUAAUUUUAAAUUGUAAAAUGAAUGAGAAAUGACAUGAUAAUUUUUAAAUGACAUAAAAACAGUUCUCAUAAAAUAAACAUACAUUUAUUUUUUAUAUUUGUACAAAAAUACUAUAAUAUAUAUAUAUAUUUUUUGGUACAAAAUGACCAUUCGAUUCCUUUUUUUCUACCUAUAAAGAUUAAAAUUAACUCUGCCUUAGUAUAUAGUGAUGUGUACAAUAUUAAUUACACCUCAUUUUACAUUCUAUUCUAUUUUUAAGGAAUUAAUUAUGAUGAUAAAAAAUAUGAGUUAAUAUUUGAUACAAUGAUAGUAUAUAUUUAUUUUAAAAAUAAUAUAUUAAAAAAUUUAUUAUGAGUUUUUUUUUCAUAUUUUACUUUAUUUAUAUAGGACACUUGUGAACCUUGAACCAAUAUUAUUUAUAGAGUCUAAAAACUCUACUUAUAAUAUACUAAAUAUUUUUCUAAAGAAUAUUAUCCUAACUUAUAAAAAAAUAUAUAAAGCGUGGAUGGUAAGAUAUGCUAAUAAUAGGAUUCAACAAUAUUCAACAAUAUCGAAUGGUAAUGGGAAUACCUAAAUCUUAAAUCAUGAUCAAAAUUCCCAAAGGAGGCAUGCAUCAACAGUGAAGGGACUGAAAAACCCUUCAGCUCUGCUCCUAUUUAUAGGAGGGGAAGGCGGUUGAGUUCAAGUCGUGGAAUUGAAAACUGAAAAACUCUGAAUAUAUAUUUGUGGGGGGAGUAGACACGACGUGAUAUUAUUUCGGUUCAUCUUAUUGUGAUUAAAAAUUUCAAGGCCAGCCGAAUCAAUAUCACUCAUGUAUGCUUUUUCUUUAUUAUUAUUGAUUUUUAAAAAUGAAAUUUUAGAAAUUUUAUUGUAUCAAUAUCAUACAUGUUAUUAUUAUUAUCGGAUUAAAAAAAAAGAAUUUCAGGAAAUUUACUGUAUUUGCUGCAAAAUCAUGGUACGUGAUAACCAUCCAUUUCUUUGAUCUGUUUCGUGAAUAUUAUCUUCUAGGUUAGAAUCAACUUCUUCAUACAUCCAGUCCCCAUUCAAUCUUUGGAUCUCUUCCACUUCAUCAUGCUUCAAUUUUUAUAUAUAUACAUAUACAUAUAUAUAUCAACCUCGUCCCAAGAGACCAAAGUCAGCUAUUAGUCAAGGACUAGCUUGCCAGCCUAACUCGCCUAGCAUAGCUCUUGCUGCUCAACUCCUGCACACUCAAACAUGUGGAACUCAUCUCUCCAGCCUUGCCGAAUCAAAAGGUCAUGUCCCUUUCCUACAUGGUCGAUACGUGAAGCCCAUCAAGUCUUUUCCACAUCAUGUCUCCAAAUCCAUCAAGUCCAAUUGCUGCCUAGCUAGAAGGUUAUCUCUACUCCCCAACCACUUACCAGGACAAACGCCCCUCUUGCAGGAAAUGGGUACACACCAAAACUCUACCAAAAUUUCUCGCAACACCAUUCAACCUCUCCUCUUACGACUCUCUGCACGACCUCAAAUGCCGCCAUUCUCACCCUUCAACUUUUCAUUAUAUCAAUAUAUAUAUAUGAUCACUUUAAACAUGUUUGUAGCUUAAAUUAUAUAUGUGAUGGAAUAGAAAUUAAAUUAGGGUUUGAUCUUUAACUCAGCGUAUAAAAAUUAAGAUCGAUCAUAUCUCCUUUUACAAAUGAAACUUGUCUUUUAAGCACUGUGUUGUGAUUAACUUAAUGCACAUUAGAAGUGGUGGCAAAAAUCUGUGCAUAAAUUUUACUUCACUGAAUAACUAAAAUCUUAUCCAUGCAUAUCAAUCCCUUAUAACACAUCCAAAAAUAUCAUGAUCUAACUUCAAAAUCCUUUGCACUUUUAAUGUAUGUCUCAAGUCUGACUAGAUCAAUGACAUUUUUUCUCCCUAUGAAACUACUGUUACAAGUUAAAAGACAAAACAUACCAAGUGUUAAAACAUGUCAAAUUUAAUCAAUAUGAAACUUUAGCCUGCCAUAAACAUUUCUUUUUUUGGCAUUUUCGUUAGACUAAUAUUUGGAGAAAAUACAUUAUAUAAUGCAAUAAAGGUUAGGCUAUCGUUAUACCAGUUGACAAAACAUGUCACAGAUGAAGAACAUCUGUGACAAAACAUCUGGUACAAAAUGUAGCUCUUAAGGAUUGACAAUUUCGCUAAGAAAGACUUGACAUAGCCGAGGAUGCAGGGCCAACAAAAUCAUUACCUUACAUACUUGCCUAGUUUGGACAAAAGGGGCAACCAAUCAUUAUGCAUUUCCAUGCUAUGGGUAGCCUGUUAAGCGGUCUAAAAUCAGGUAUAAAUACUCACUCCCACGCUAUAGAUUUUUUAGUGUUUUAUUAUCAUAAGCUCUUAUUUUCCUCUUCACAAUAACUCACGCUUCAUAAAUUUAGUUUUAGGAAUUUAGUAAAUUAGUUGGUGUAAUAUUUAAAAAAAAAUCACUUGAUAUCAAAUAUAAUUAACAAAAUGACUAGAUUAAUGAACUUGAAUUUACAAAAUAAUUAUAAUAGUGUUAACGGUUGGACUUGAAUUUUAAAAUAUGAAAAGUAAAUGGACUAAAUUACUAAAAAUAAAAAGACUAAAUUUCACAUUUAUAAAUAAUAUAAAGACUUCUGACAUAUUUUAACUCCGUAAUCCAAAGUUUAGCUCAACCGUUCAUAAAUCCAACCACUAACCUAAUUUAUGAUGGGGAGUACAUAAAGAGUUAUAUUGUCUACUAAAAUAACAAAAGAUUUAUAUUGAACUUUUUUACACCAAUUCUUGAUUGGAUCUUUAAUAAUCUCUAUGUUUUACCUCUGAUUUACAUAUAUUGAUGGUACAAUUUAAGGUGAUCAUUAGUUGGGUGUGGAUUGUGGAAUUUGAGCUUAAAACACCGACAGUUUCUCCCAAGAUGAAAGGCAGAGGCUCAACGCUAAGUUCAGUGGAGUUGUCAAACUUUAAACCUUUGACAUUUUAUCUAUUAUAGGGAUUGAACUAAAUUAGUUUUACUAUUAAAUAGGUUAAUGUGCAAAUUUAUCACUAUACUUUAUUUUGAUUAAUAUUUGCCAUUGUACUUUUGAGUUAAAAAUUAAUAUACCACUAUGUUUUAACUUUAUCUUGAAUUUUGCAGUUUUAAUUUUUAUUGAUUUUUGUAGCUUUAAUUUUUUAUUGAAUUUUAUCACUAAAAUUUAAUUUUUAUUAAAAUUUACUAUUUAAUUUUAAUUUAAAAUAAAUUGAAGAAAAAAAUUAAUAAAAAUAAUAUUUUAAUUUAAUACGUAAAUUAUUAAAUUAAUAUUAUAUUGACAAUUAAUAAAAAAAUAUUUAUAUAUAAAAAGUAAACUUAAUAUUUUUAAAAUUUUUAUGUUCAAGUAUUUCUUUUAAUAAAUAAAAUUCUAAAUAAAAUAUACUAUUUUUAAUAUUUAUAAAAUGAAUUAAUAUUAAUUAUUAAAAUAAAAACUUUCUUGUUAAAAUUUAUUUUUAAAUCAUCAAAAUCAAUAUUAAGAAGUAAAAGCUAAUUAAAAAUUAAAAUUAAUGAAAGAAAUGAAUAAAAUUAAAAGUUUAGUGAUAAAAUUCAAUCACAUAACCGUUGUGAGGGAAAUUUAACCAUAUUUAUAAAAUAUAAUGACAAAUAUUAAUCAAAAUAAAAAACAAUGAUAAAUUUCAAUAUUCACCAAUAGUAUGGUGACAAAUUUACAUUUUAACUCAAAUUUAAUUUUUGUAUUAUCAAUUGGAAUAGAAUUAACAUUUAUUAUUAAAAAAAACUUGAAAAUUAUUUUUUAUAUUUAUAGUUGAACUUUAAACAAAAUAUUUUAUUGUAAAAUUAUAAAAAGCUUUAAAAAUAUAACUCCAUUAAACAUUAAAUUACAUUUUUUAAACAAUAAAUAUUAGAUCUGUUGAAAUUUAACCCUUUUUUCUGUUUCUUUUCAAUAUUUUAUGGGUUAAAUUAAAUUAAUUAAUUUAAUAAUAAAACAAUUAAUUUAAUUCGAUCUCUAUAAUAAAGGACUUAUCGAGUACAUUUCAUAUUAAUUUUGAAGAUUCAAUUAAGAUGUUUAAAAGUAUUAAAUAAAUUUAAAUAAUUUUAAUAUAAUAAAAAUAUAUUAAUUUUAAGUUUUUAUAUAAAAGAAAAACAUCAGCAAAAAGCUCAUAAAUGUUAGGUUGACUUUGUAUAUUAGACACUUAACUAUUGCAAGCAACAUGCAAUGUAAAAUUUUCAUUUUAUUUCGGAGAUAGGAAUAGGGAUGAGCGGAAUUCUGUUUAAAAUAAAAACCAGUAAUUUCCAAAAAUUUUCGCAUCAAAUUUUCCGCCAAAUAACAACAAUGGCCCCAUUUCCACAAAUAACAAUGGCUUCCUUUUUUUUUUCUUUCAAACAAAGCAAAAGCGUAUAGCUUCAAUGGAUAACUCCUCGGGACUCUGUUAAAACUGCUGUAAUCAAAGAGACCAAAGCUUCAAACUUUUAAAGCCCUUUGAAGACAAACACAUUUUGCUUUGAUUUACCGACCAGCGAUGUUGGAGCCAUCUUCUCAAAAACCCAAUUUCUUAAUCCCACAGGUGUCGCCAACUCCGGCGGCUCCACCGCCACCAAUGGCACAACCACCUCCAUCACCACCGCCACCUUCUCUAGUACGCACCUACUCCGGCAAGUUACUGUCUCUUCUAUCCGAAAGACCUUCCCUUAGGGCGACUUCGGAGUUCGACAGUGACAGCCGUGUGUUCUUUCACAAGGUGUCGUGUAAGCUGUUCGACAACCUGGCCAGUCUCAAAUUGUCGUUCAUCAACGAUAGCAAACGCGAGAUCUCGGAACCGCAGUUGAUGUUAACGUCAAAGUACUUGUCUAUCCAUUACGAUCCUGAUGAACAAAAUGCUCUCAUUAGGACCUCUUUUGAUGUGGGUCCUAUGUUGAAUUUCAAUGUUGCCCAUGAUCUCAAGGUUUGCCCCCUUUUUUUUCGUUUAAAAACAUAUAUAUAUUUACUUAGUGGUGUUGAGUUAGUUGGUUGGCAUUGUCAAUGAAAAUUAUAUAGUUAUUGUUUACUCUUUUAUUGAGAUGCAUGGGAGGUUUGAGAGAUUGUUUUUUUGGUAAUAUUUAAUAAGAUGCAGCCCGAUUUGUGCAUUGGAGGUGCAAGUUUUCAUGAAAUUGAUGAUGGGAUUUUACUGAAAUUUUCUCUCAUAUUGAUUCUUGAAGACCAUUUUGUUCAUCCUUUUGCAUUUGGAUUUUCAUCUUAAAAACCUCCAUUUUCUUUUAGAUGAUGUACUUUUUGGAAUCUGAAAAUUGUUAUUGCUUCUGGAAUCAAUGCUAUCAAUAGGGGUAUUAAAAGUGGCAUUGGUGCUCUCAAGCUAUUUGAGAUUUAUUGACUUGAACUCGAGCUAUUAAUCAAAUUAAAUUCGAGCAGUUUAUAAGUCUAAUCAAACAUUUUGUUUUAAUAUGGUUUUAUAUUAUAAAAUUACAUUUUUACUCUUGUUAUAUAGAAAGAGCUUAAGUACAAACGAGCUCCAGCUUGACUACGAAUGAGCUUAAUUGAGCUUGAGUUCGAUCUUAAGUACGAAAAUUUAUAAGCAAGCUUAAUCCAGUUUGAUUAAGCCUUGACCCAAGCUCUAGCUUAAAAAUUAAUGUUUAUUCAAGCUCAAGCCGAGUAUUGAGCUUUGACUUCCAAGUUGAACUCGUGCUUGUCACUAUUCAGGUUUGGUUCGGCUCAAUUACACCCCUAGCUAUCACGGUUGUUAUUUUGAACAUUUACUUCAAGCGACGUAUGUUGUCCCGUUAAUAUUUGUAUUUUUCUCAGGCACAACAAGGUGAGGUGUCUAUGUAUGCAAGCCUUCCCAGUCCCGGCUUUGGUGUCCAAGUAUCAUCUUCUUUUCCAUAUUCUGGUUUGGUGAGUACUAUUUUUGUCCUAAGUAUCUUCCUGUAAUAAUCAACCAUUUAUAGCAUUAAGUUCUAGACAAUUGGAGACUUAAAUACCUUAAUGUUCUUAUACUGAUAGCAUGACAGCACUUAUUCAUAUUAGUCCCAUUAAAUAUUUAUCUGAACAUAGAGUUUGAAAAAGUAUCCGGUAAUUCCCGUUCAGCCGGUUUUCGUGGUUCUGACUAUAGUUUUCAAAGGUGCAACCUGUGCUUUAGGCAUUAGAAUCCUUGUGUUUCUUGAGGCAUAAGGCACAAAAGAAAAAACCUUACUUAAGUGAAGUAAGACACAAUAUGUAAUAAUGUGUGAUUUGUUACUUUUGUAUAUGUAUUUGUGUGUGUAUGUGUUUUGCCCUUACAAAAAAAAUGAGUCCGAGUCCACCAGACAUAUGUCCGAUCAAAUGUAUGCUGCUUGAAAGGGUAUAAGAUGCUUUUGUUGUUUGACACUUAGAUACAGUGCUUAGGUGCAUGCCUUAACAUGUGUCUGAUUACUGGUAUUGCUGUUGUGUUUUCGUGCCUAUGCAUUAUCACCCGUCCACCGCGCUUCUUUUCCGCUUUAAUAUAUUUAAACAAGGUUAUAGCCUCUCUCUUUUUUGCCCUCUAAUUACCUUCUGUUACUUUCCUCUCGCUGCAGCCUAGAGCAACGAUUAGAUUCCCGAUGGGUGAAGUUACAUUGGAGGAGAGAGAGGAGGCGGAUGUACUGAGAACAUUGUCGGUAAAGGGAAUUCUUAGAGGUCAAAUUUUAAACGGGGUCUGUUCCGCUCAUUACGUUGAUGAAGAACUGAAAUUAAGAUACAUAUAUAAGGUGGUUAUUCCUCAUUGUUAUAAAAGCUCUGCUUCUGUUCCUGUUUAUGUGCAAAAUUUUGAGUUUGUGGGUGUUUUCUUUUACUAGAUGGUUUCGAUGUUUUUGUCGAAUUGCAGGAUCAAGCAAUGUCGUUUAUCCCUAGCAUUUCGAUACCGUCGAAUGCUGUAUCAUUUGCAUUCAAGCGACGUCUCAGUCCAUCUGAUAAAUUGAGGUUAGAACGCUGCAAUUUCUUUUAUUUUGCUCAGGACAUAACGAGCUCUUUUCGCAGUGGUGUCUGUUCUAUCGAAGUGUUUUUAUGAUCGGUUUUCGAACUUAUCCGCAGCUACUGGUACAAGCUUUAUUCGAACAAUUGGAGUGCUGUGUACAAGCACACAUACAAGAAAAGCUUCAAGCUCAAAGCUGGAUAUGAUUCAGAAGUCCGUCUCGGUUGGGCUUCUAUAUGGGUAAGCUCUUUCUAUUUGCCGAACUUUGUCAUCCUCGAAAGCAAGGCUCUCGUUGUUUACUCGAAAUAACUCAUAAUAUCCUCGUUUCAGGUUGGAGACAAAAACGGCAGGGCAAGGACAGCCCCGAUGAAGAUGAAAGUCCAGUUUAUGUUACAGGUACCGCAGGAUGACAUUAAGUCAUCGACGCUAAUGUUCCGAGUUAAAAAGAGAUGGGAUAUAUUGUAGUGUAGUCCCGUGCCUGCGACAUCCUCGUCUCGUUUCUCUCUUUAUAUUUGCAUAGUUUCUUUUGACCUUUUACGACGCUUCGUAAUGAUGCUAACUGUUAUAUAAUCACAUCAUUAUAUAUUUUGAUCAUAUCUGCUGUUUUUGAGACAAUUUCUAGAAGUAUUAUAGCUCCUCUUCAACCCAUAAAUAGAAGGACAAUAUGUUUCAAAGCACUCGAAUACACAAUCUCCUGCAUUAACAGCAAUGCUUAUGUUAAUCAAGUUAAGACUCAAUCGAUAAUUAAAUAUUAGUUAAAUAUUCAUUAUAUACUUAUUACAUGAAUGGUUUAAAUUUGAUGUAUUAAAAAAAUUAUUAUAAUUAAAUUUGUGAUUCAUUAUAUACUUGCAAAAGAAUAGUGCAAGUGCACAUGACUUAAAUAUUCAUUUAGUCCUUAAAUUUGUUAUUCACCCUCAAGUUGGUACUUAUGAUUCUAAGUUGGCAUUCGAAUUUUUAUUUUGUGAAGUCUUUUUAGUACUUCAUUGUAAUGAUGUUAAGUUUGGUAUAUGUGACAUUUUUAGACAGUGAUACGUGGUAAUGUUGACAUUAUUAUGAUAUCAUAAUUUAUUUUUUGAAAAAAAAUAAAAAUCUAUUAUUUAAAAAAAAUUUAUAAACUUUUUAAAUCAUAAAUUUUUUAAAUAAUUAGAAAAGUUAGAAAACUCUAAAAAUAUAUAAAAAUAUAUACAAAUUUAAAAUGUUUUGUUAAUAACAUGAAUAAAAUUAUUAAAAUAUUAUUAAAUAAUUAGAAAGGGGUAUAGAAGAUUAAGAUGCCUUUUUUUUAUUUAUAUUCCAUACACUAUCCAGAAAAAAAGAAGAAGAAGAAUUUGUAUUUAAUUUAUUGGUACCUUUCUUUUUUAUAUUCCCAUUCAAAUCUAAAGGAUAGAUUAGGAUCUAUAUCUAUUAUCAUAUAUAAAUCGAAUUGAUGAAAUAAACAAAAUGCAAAAAAAAUCUUUCUUUUUCUAUCUCACCCAGUUUUUUGUUGUCUUACAUUUAUAAUUUAUACAUCUCCAUUUAUACACGAAAACUACAUUAAAAUAAAAAAUGUAAAACCCAUUUUAUCUACCUAUGCAAACUUGAAUUUGAUUUUUUUUUCCAUAAAUUGGUAAUUGGUCAAUCUCGAAGAGAGGGUAUGCCCAAUUUUCAUUUUCAACCAAAUUCGAAUGAGACUCGUAGUUAAUCUGUUGAAGGAUACAUAAUUUUGAAAAAAAGAGAGAAUAUUUUAUUACAUUAAUAGUCAUUUUUCUUUUAAUUAUAUGUAAAUAUAAAGAAAAUAUCGGAUAGUCUUUCCUACAAGAAAAUGUUCAUUUAUUGUAGUGGAAGAAAAUCAAUUAGUUCCGCGAUGAAAAUGAACUAGUUAAUAAGUUCAAAUAAGCAAACUCAAAUAAUUCGUUUUUCUUUUAAAUUCUAGGACAUCCUAUGAUUUAUAUCAUACUUUUUUGGGGGAAAUUCUUUGUAUUUUUUAUCGAUGUAUCUAACUUAUUGUAAAUAGAAAUUACUGUAAUAUGUAUUAAUAAUAAAUAAUAAUUGAUACUUUCAGAAAAAUAUUACUAUAAUGAAAAAAAGAAUUCUUUUAUUUUUCAUUAUAGUAACUUGGUGAGAUCAUUUGAUUACUUCUAAUUUCGAAAUUUGAAUAUUUUUGAAAUAGUUGCGAAAGAUUAAAAAAUUAAGAAUAGAAAUUUUCAGUUAACUUUAUAAUCUCUCGAUUUUUUUAUUGCUCCUUUUCAAUCAAAAGAGAUAAGAGCUGGUGAAUCAGAAACGAUUAAUUAAGAAAGAAUAACAAUUUUUUUUAUGGACCAUGCAUAUUAGUAUUCAUGGAUCGUACCUUUUGUUCCACUUACAAUUCCUAUUUUAAUAGGAAUGAGACUCUUACUGUAACAACCUCUUUUUUUGUGGUGUCGAAAAUAGUAGUUUCGGGGCCACCAAAUUCGACGAGUAAGUUUGUAAAUAUUAUUAUUUAAUAUUUACGAGUCAAAUGUGAUUUUUAAAAAGGUUUUUGAUUUGAUAAUUUAUGUUAUAUAAGUGAUUUAUUAAGUUCAAGUGGUUUUAGAAAAUAAGGUAUCGGGACCUUGUUUUUAUAAACUGAGCCGUAAAUAUUUUUAUAAAUAUUUAUGGAGUGUCAUUAAGGUGGUAUUAAAGUUUCAUUAAGAAAUUCUAACGUUUCGAUGGUUAAUUAAUUAAAAAAGAUCAAAUUAAAAAAGUACAUUCCUGGGACUCCGUUCCUGUAAAUCAGACUCGUUUGUGUAGUUAAUUAGGUUUCAAUUAAAUGAAUUUGCUUGAAUUAAAAGUAAUUAGAUAUAAGAACUAAAUUGCAUAUAAUAUAGAGUGAAAAUUGAAUUAUAGAUUAAAGAAAAAUUAAAGGGACUAAAGAAGCAAUUAUGUCAUUAUUCUUUAACAAGGUGGCAUAAGUUAAGAUAUUUAUAAAUUUAAUAUAUAUAAUAAUAAAAUAUGUUUUACUUAAUUAUUAAGAGUAUAUAUAUUAUAUUAUAUUAAAACAAAACAAAACAAAACAAAUAAAAAAUAAAUAAAAAGAAAGAAAGAAAGAAAAGAAAAAGGAAAGAAAGGAAGGAGAAAGCCACGGUUUUAGUGGCUUUAAUUGUUCAAAGUUUAAUUGGUUAGUCAAUUUAGUCCAUUUUUCUUUUAAUUUUUAUGUUUUCGGAAUCCCGAUAUUAAAUAGUACCCAACCCAUGACAAAAUUUUAGAAAUUAUUGAGUUUUUAAAUGUUGUUAAUGUUGAAUAAUUUUAGUAUUAGAGAUUAAAUUAAUAGAUUUUUAAGUUAGAAGUGAAAAAGGAUUGAAUUGUAGAAUAAAUUGUAAAUUUUGAGUAAUAGGGACUAAAAUGUGAAAAAUUCAAAAUUUAGGGAUUUAAGUGAAAUUAGAGAGUUAAAUCUAGUUUACAGUGGCAAUUGAAUGAAAAUAUAGAAUUGAUUGUGAAGAAAUAAAAUUAGUCUCGGUUUAGGGACUAAAUUGGAAUUUUGACAAAUGUUGAGUAAAAAUUGAAAUAUGCAAUUGAAUUGUAUUGUAUUGUAUUGUAUUGAUGAAUUUUAAUUGUUUUAAUUUCGUAGCUAACGUCAUACCGGAAUCCUCGACUAAAAAGGGGAAAGAUAAAGUCGACGAGGAAUAGUUCGGAAUUUUUGGUUUGUAUUUCUAUAAUCCGAAUUUAAUUGUUAAUUGUUAUAAUUCAAUUUAAUGUAUAUAGUAAGUGUUGAGGUGAGAAUUAUUAUGUUUUGCAAUUGAAAUGGAUUGAUUUAGUAAUGUGAUGAAUUUAUUGAAUUUAUAUUGAUUGAAUUGGUAUAUAUAUUGAAUAUAUUGAUUAUUUGAAUUGAAAUGAAUAUUGGUUGUAUUUGAAAAGUGAAUUGAAACCCUAUUAACUGUAUCGGGUUGAGUCGGAUAUAGAUGGCAUGCCAUAGGAUUGGAAAAGUUCAAGGAUUUCUUCGACUUCGAGUCGAUGAAACAUUGGGUGUCAAUUUACUACUUCGGAUUAAUUUGAUGAUGCAUUGGGUGCCAAUUUACUUCGGUUUAACUGAUGAGGCACUAAGUGUCAAAUUAUUACUUCGAAUUAUCCGAUGAGGCAUUGGUGCCAAACUGGUGUGUUUUGGUUGGAUCUGUGUAUCCGUCCGAGUCUGAGUCGUGUUAAUAGGGGUAAAUGAAUAAUAAAGUUUUAUAAUUGAUAUUGAAAUGGUAUGGUAUGAGAAAUGGAAGUGAAAUAGUGAAUUAAAAAUAGAAUGUGAAAUAUGCUGCAAAUAUAUGGAAUAUAUGAGUUAUAUACUCAUGAAAUGACUAUGGAAUGAAUAUUGCAAUUGUAUAAUGAAAUGUGAAAUAAAUUGUGAAAAUCUAUUUAUAUAGCAAGUAUGAGAAUUGAGAUAUUUGUGAAACAAAUGAAAUAUGAUAUGGUUGUUGUAAUAAUUAAAUAUUAAUAUGUGUUUAUAUUUCAAUUGUAUAUUUGUAAUUUCUUAUCUUUAAAUAUUCGGAUUAUAGAAAUACCACUGAGUUUAUACUCAGCGUACGGUUUUGUUUUCCCUGCGUAAAUUAGGCACUUAACUUUUGAUCGCCGAUUUAGCAUCCAACAACGACCCCGAACUUAAAUGUGGUGAUGUUUAUCCUUUGUGUCAGCAUGUACCUAGGAUGUCUAAAUCAUAAUUAUUUUGUGGUUUGAUUGUAAAUGAGGUUAUAAGUUUAAUUUUGGUUGGUUUUAUACAUAUAAAUAUGUGUUUGUUUUUGAAGUCAUAUUAUGACAUGAUAAAUUGAACUAAAUCUAGAUAGGUGCAUGUAAUUUUAAUUCUAUGUUUAAGUGCUCGUGAACUAGGCAAAUUGAUUUGGAUUUAGUAUGUUUAUAAUUUAGAUUAAAAUGAUGCUUUGAUGACUUAGGGUGGGUUUGGAUGGGCGAUUGGGUGCGGUGCGGUGCGCUUAGAUUACUUUUUGUCUCACGCUACAGUAUUGCUACACUAUCUAAUCUCACCGCCACCGCUGUUUUUAUACUAACCACAGGUAAACGCACCGCCCAUCCGAACUCACCCUUAUUUUGAUGAUAUAAAAUGUUUAAAAUUUCUGUCUAUUUGAUCUGUAAACUCCGGUAAUGCUCCGUAACCCGGUUCUGGCGAGGGAUACAGGUUGGGGAUGUUACACUUACUUUUUUCGAAUGCAACAAAAACUCUUCGUCGUAUGUGGGCUUUUCCCAAUAUUUUAUUGUUAAGUAUAGUUAUAAUUUUUUUCUCUCGAUCUGUCUAUUUAGUAAAUAAAUGGAAGUUCUAUCUAUCAAUAUGUAUGGUCUUGGACCAUCAAUAAUGAUUUUUCUUUCGAGUUUGGCUACUUUAUUGAUUCACUUACCGAUCUAUUAUGUCAAUAUUAAUCACUACUGUUGGAUUUUUUGUUCUUAUUUAUAGUGACAAUUAUAUGUCUCAUGAGGAAGGAUAUUUGAGAUUUUUUGCUUACAUGAGUUUGUUCAAUGCUUCAAUGUUGGGAUUAGUUACUUGUUCGAAUUUGUUACAAAUUUAUAUUUUUGGGGAACUAGUUGGAAUGUGCUCUUAUCUAUUAAUAGGUUUUUGGUUCACACGACCCGCUGCGGCAAAUGCUUGUCAAAAAGCGUUUGUAACUAAUGGGAUAGGCGAUUUUGGUUUAUUAUUAGGAAUCUUAGGUUUUUAUUGGAUAACGGGAAGUUUCGAAUUUCAAGAUUUGGUCAAAAUAUUUAAUAACUUGAUUUAUAAUAAUGAGGUUCAUUUUUUAUUUGUUACUUUAUGUGCCUCUUUAUUAUUUGUGCCAUCAUCAUUGAAUUGAAUUAAUAAAUAUUCAAAUAGAUAGAAUAUAUAGAAUUUGCAUAUCGAGCGGGUAGCGGGAAUCGAACCCGCAUCGUUAGCUUGGAAGGCUAGGGGUUAUAGUCGACGUUGAUUCAUUAUUUUUAGCGUCUUUAAUUCAAAACCGAAUAUGAAAUUUUGGUUUCAUUUGGCUCCUUUAUGGAAGAUGGAUAAAAAAAAGAAUAUAAAUAAGAUAAAGGUAAGGCAGUAACGAAAUGAAAUAAGAAUUCGGCCCAUAACAUCUAUGUUAGCUUUUCUAUCUGAAUGCAUUCAAAACAAUUUGCUUUUUAGAUGAUCCUUCUAGAAGAGUGCGACUAGAAUAGAACAGUUUUUCUAGUUACUUCGUUCUCUAUUUCUAUUUGAGAAAAUCCUUAGGAAAACAUUUUGUUUCCGCUGAGCUAAAACAAGAUGUAAAUGUCUCUAGUAGACCAAAGUUAUCGUUCAAUAGCUAUUUUGCUUCAAUUUAUCCCAUCAAAAAGAAUUGAAGAUUUUGUUACAAAUAGAAAUACACUUUUCUAUAUUUAUCCAUGGAUCUUUUCCUCAUACUUAUUAAAUUGGAAGUAUUGUUCCAAUUGAAAAAAAAAAUUAUGUUUCGUAAUUUCAUAAUCCAAUUUUUCAAUUUUUAGUUAGAAUAUAAUUAAAAAAUUAUAUAUAAUUUAAUUGGCCCUUGGAUCCAAAUCACGAGAAUAUAUAUUCUUCCUCAAAUCUUUCGUUGAGAGGUAAAGGAUUAAAUCCUUUUAAGAAAAUUUUUUUUUGCUCGGAAUAUGAAUCAAACUGAGGGACCCCUUAACUCUUAGGGGGAUUAAUAGAACGAAUCACACUUUUAGCACUAAACUAUACCCACUACAAUGCGAUUAUUGUAUUUAUUGUAUAUUUAUUGUAUAUAAAGGGACCCUUUGUCGAACAGGGGAAUUGGGCGUAACCAAGAUAGGAGCCACCUUUUGUCAGAAGACUUGUGUUAAUAGGAGUUUUGAUAGACAGGAUUUGACAAAAGGACUUUGUAACAGCCCGAUUUUGGGUCUAGUCGGAACAGUGGUUUCGGGACCACAAAUCCGACAAGAAAAAAAUUAUUUUAAAAUUUUGACAUGGGUUGCAUUAUGAUAGGAAUGUUUCAUGAAAAUACUGAUAUGAAAAUUUUAUCAUUAAUUAAGGAAAGGACCUAUUUGUAUAAAAUGUAGAAAUUGAAUUCUAAAAGCUAGAAGGAUUAAAUAGCUAUGAAAUUCAAAACUAGAGGUCCUUAUAUGGUAAAUAUACUAUCAAUCAAAAGAUGGUAGAUUUUUAUGGAUGAAUCAUCCAUGGAAUUUGAGAAAAAGAAAAGGACUAAAUUGGAAUUUUCAGAAAUUAAAAGAUGAUAAUUAAUUACAUGAACAUAUCAUCUUUUUCUAUCAUCUUCUUCCCCAAAAUUUACAUGGAAACCCUAGAAGAGAGAAAAGAGACUUUCUUGGCAUAAAUUGGUAAGUAAUCAUAUCCCGUUUUUAAUAAUUUUUAUAUUUUUGAGAUCGAGAUAACAUGUUCUCUCUAUUUUGAGGAUUUAUUUGAAAAGUCAUCAAGGUAUGGAAAUUGUGCCAUGGAUGAACGUGCUGAAAAUUGAAAAUUUAUGGUAGAAAAUGAAAGGUUGUUAGUAAAUAAACAACUUUUACCAAGUGAUUUUGGGUGAAACUGAGAUUUAGGGACUAAAUGGUAAACUUGUGAAAUUCAAAGGAAAAUUUUGAUUUUUUUGUGAAAUCUAUGGACUGUUAUAGAUAUACAUGAAUUUCGUUUAGGCUUGAAAAGGGGAUUGAAUUGUAUGAAUUUCAUUUUUCGAGCCUAGGGACGAAGUAAGAAUUAAUGAAAAGUUUAAGGGCAAAAAUGUAAUCUUUUUCCAAAGAGUGAUUUUUGAACUAAAUUGAAUAAUGUGAGUGUUAAAUAAGUUAAAUGUGUUGUUAUAAAUCAAGAAAGACGAGAAAUUGACCUUGAUCGAUAAAAAGAAAAGUGAGAAAAAGUGAAAAAUUAUGAAAGAGUACAUUUAGCAACAAAACAGUUUAGACAACAACAGUUGUGUGACUUUGAAAAAUCACCAAAAAUUGUGAAAAUUGAAUUAGAUGCUGAAUAAUAUAUGAAAUUAAAUUUGAAUGAGUCUAUUUUCACAUAAAAUAAAUUUUGCAUACGAAAGAAUUUUAUAUUAUGAGAUAUUUGAAUUUGGCUGAGAAAUGGGUCAGAAUGAUUUCAGAAUUCCCUGUUCUGACUUGGAAAAAUUGUACAAAAAUAAUUAUGGGUUAUAAUUUAUAUGUUUAAAAUAUUUAUUGAGUCUAUUUUCAAGAGAAAUAAACGAGGACAUCAUUAGAAUUUCGUACAAUGAGAUAAUUAAUUUUUAGUAAAGAGAGGUCGGAACUGUCGAACAAUGAAACAGAGGAAACUUUAAAGAAUAAACUGUACUUAUUGGAUGAACCAAAAAUUCUUAAAAUUUUAUGGUAAGAAGAUAUGUGAGUCUAGUUUCAGGUAAAAUUAACGGAUCUUAAUUUGGAGCUCUUUAGCUUGAGAUAUAAAUAAAUUAGUGACUUAGACUCAGACAGACAACUUGAAUUUACAUACAGGAAAAUAGUGAUAGUAUGGAUAAUGUUGUUUAAAUGUGUUAUACACAUUAAGAAUGUGGAAUGGAGAGGAGGAGGAGGAAAAUUAUAUAUGAAUAUUCAGCUAAUACGAGUUUAUUUUAAAAUAGCUAAUUUACAUGUUAUAGGUUCAGGGACUAAAUUUAAUAAAAGUAAAUUUUUAAGGUAAUUUUGUAAAAAUGUCAAAAAUGACCAAAUUGCAUGAAAUGAACUAUUUUAUUAUUUAAGUUAAUAAAUUGAAUGAAAUAUUAAUUUAGAUCAAGAUCGGGCAGAAAAUUGAGGGAAAUAAAAAAUUUCCAAAAUGCCCCUGUAUCUUGGUAUUUCUGCAAAUUAACCUGGUAAGUUCGUAUGAACUAUAUUCUAUACAUAUGUAUAUGUGUUUGUAUCACUACAAUUCAUAUGUAUUAACCAAGUGAAUGUUAUUUGGUGAUGAAUAAUAUAUAUGUAUAUGUGUUAGUAUUGAACUGAAUUUAGAGAACUGAAUUGAAUAAGAAAUAUGUGUUUGUAUCACUACAAUUCAAACUUUAUCAUUAUUAUGUGUUUAAUUUACUAAUUAUGCAUGGUAAGUAUUUUAAGAUAAGUGUUUAGUAAAAUGAAAAUUUAUGAUUGGAUAUUGAAAUUGAGACUGAUACUGAACUGAAUUAUGGAAUACUGAAUAUUGUUUUGAGUACUGAAUUGAAUUGUGAAGUUACUAAAUAUUGUUAAGUGUACUGCAUUACUGAAGUAAUGAAUUACUGCGAUACUGUGAAACCGAUUGAAAUAAGGAAUUAUAAUUGAUACUGAACUAAGAUGGAAAUUGUACUGAAAAGUGAAUUAAAUACCCUAUUAACUAGUCGGGCUAGUCGGAUAUAGUUGGCAUGCCAUAGGAUUUGGGAGAGUACGGGUUUUUGCCGUCUUACUGAUUAGGCACUUAUGUGCCGACUACUGUUACUGUUACUCUUACCGAUUCGGCACAUUGUGUGUCGAAUAAUGUUACUGUUACUGUUACCGAUUCGGUACUUUGUGUGUCAAAUACUGUUACCGUAUUGUUACAGAUUCGGCACUUUGUGUGUUGAAUAUUGUUACUGUUACUGUUACUGCUACCUUUACUGAUUACUGUUUAGUUACUGUGUACCGUUAAGGUACAAUGUGCCAUACUGGUGUGUUUGGUUAGAAUCCACGUAUCCGCCAAAGCCCGAGACUGUUGAUAGGGGUAAUUAAUGAAAAGUUAAAUCGAACAAAAUAAAACAGUUGAGCUAUUGAAAGAAACGUGAUUGUGGAAUAUAAUUUGAAAAUGUGAAUUGAAUAUGAAAAUGUGAAAUGAAAACAUGAACUAAAUAUUCAUUAGAUAAAUAAUGGCUCAAUGUGAUAGUAUAUGAUAUUGACUAAUGAAAGCCAAAUUGAAUUGUUAUUGGAAAUAUAUUAUCGAAUUUAAUACUCAAUUUAGAUUGAACGCGGGAUUGAGUACAAUCGUUCUGUGGCAAAGGAUGAAUUGUCGGAUAAAACCAUAGUUGGACUAUGGUACAAAAAGGAUUAUAUACUCAUAUCUGUAAGCCGUUCUUUGAUUCAGUAAGAAAUGGUAAGAGACUUAUGUGUUUGAAUUGAAAGAAUUAUAGGUUAUUAUUGAUAUCGAUCUGAAGGAAGUGUGUUUGUUAAUUAUAUUGUAUUUGACAAAAGAAAUUAUGAAGUAUUAGAGUUAUUUAAAAUCCUACUCAGAAUUCAUUGCUUACGUAUUUGUUUUUAUUUAUCCUACAGAUUAUCGAAAACUCGAUUGGGUUUGAAACUUGUCGAAGAUAUAGCACACUAUCCAUUGGUUAUAUCGGUAUGUUCGAAUGAUUGGAUUUUGGAUAUAGUGGCAUGUAUAGGUAUUUAGUUUAAUAAUGACCUAUUUCCAUUCACACGAGCAGAGACACGGGCAUGUGUCCCCUACUUCUAAGAAAAAAAAUUUGAAAAGUUGAGAAAUGAUCGUAUUUAAUUUGUAAACUCCAGUAAUACUUCGUAACCCUAUUCCGGCGACGGAUUCGAGUUAGGGGUAUUACAGACUUAGUCAUAACAUAAAUAACAUAAAAAUGGAUUGUGCAAAAAUCCAUAGUUUUUUUUAUUAUUUAUUCAAACAGACGAAAAGUACUUUCCCUUGUAUGGAGAACAAAUCCUAUCUCUUAUCUCUCUAGUUCCGGAACUCUUGGUAAGCUAAGUUUUUUUGAAUAUACCUUUCAAGAAAAGACCUUUCUUUUACGCCUUAUUUAUUAUGAAAGUGGAACCCGCUCGGAAACCAACUAACUUGAUCGAUUUAGUGCUUGGAUUAGGUCCGGGUAGAGAACAGGUAGGGGCGGUAGGCUUUUCACUUUAGCCGUUGUUAUUCAAGGCCUUACUUUACUCGUUUAAAUCUUUUUUGAUCCCCUCAUUCUUUCUAGUUAGGGAGGCCAUAGAUGAAAUGAUACAUUAUAAGUCUAGAUAAUUAGAAUGAAACUCUUUUUAGACUCAAAAAUUUGAAUUAUCUUUGAAUUUGGAAUAGAAAUGAAUGGAAUAAUUAGUUCUAAUUAUUAAAUAGAAAUAAUUAGUUCUAGCUAUUAUAUUAUAAAAAAUUAAUUAUUUUCAUUUUCAUUUUUAAUAAUGAAUAAAUUCAAUUUUCAUUUUUAUUUUUUUAGUUAUCUUAUUCUUAUUAUGGUUAUAUAGGAUAGUCUAAUAAAAGGAUAAGAAUAAAAAUGAAAUUAAAGAAAAAAGAUGCAACCCAUGGAAAUGAAAUCCAGAUCAUAAUGAGAGACUCCUUUCUUUUGUUUUCAUUCAUAAAGACAGAAACUAAGACGAAAAAAAGAAUUGACCCUUCGAGUAUUUCACCAAAUUGCAUGAGAAAACUGAGAGUAAGAGGGACAUAUAUAUGUUAUGGAAUACCCAUCUAUAUUGAAUUGCGAAUACAGAAAUGAUAAAAUAUUUUCUAAUUGAACCAAAUAAAAAUUAAUAUGGGUCUCCGAUAGAGACGAAAGACGAUAAAUAAACAAGAAAAUAAGUAAAGACCCUUUGAUAUAAGAAUUUGUAUCUAUAUCUACUAAAUUCAACGAUUUUGCAUAAAAAGAAAGCAAAUAAAUAAACUAAAGAAAACAAACAAAUGAAAGAAGGGGGAAAGGGGGGGAAGGAGGGACAUCCUAAUGAGAUCCUAAUCUUAAGACACAAAAGGGGAUAUGGUAAAAUUGGUAGACGCUAUGGACUUAAUUAGAUUGAGCCUUGGUAUGGAAACCUACUAAGGGUGGGUUUGGAUGGGCGGUGCGUUUACCUGCGGUUAUUAUAAAAACAGCGGUGGCGGUGAGAUUAGAUACUGUAGCGAUACUGUAGCGUGAGACAAAAAGUAAACUAAACACACCGCACCGCACCCAAUCGCCCAUCCAAACCCACCCUAAGUGAUAACUUUCAAAUUUAGAGAAACCCUGAAAUAAAAAAUGGGCAAUCCUAAGUCAAAUCCUAUUAUUUUAUUAUUUUACAAAAAUAAACAUGAAUAAAGGUUCAACAAGCGAGAAUAAUAAAAAAAGAAAAGGAUAGGUGGAGAGACUCAAUGGAAGCUAUUCUAACAAAUGGGAUUGACUCUUGGUAAAGGAAUUCUUAUAUCGAAUUUUGAAACUCUAGAAAGGAUGCAAGAUAUACCUAUUUUUUAUAGGUAUACUAAUGAAAAACUAUCUCAAAAAAGACGAACCGAACACGUAUUUUUUUAUUUCUAUUAUAUGCAAAAUCAAUUUAUAUUUAUAUGAAAAUAUGAAAAAUAAAAAGAAUUGUUGUGAAUCGAUUCCAAGUUGAAGAAAGAAUCGAAUAGAAUAGUCAUUAAUCAAAUCAUUCACUCCAUAGUUUGAUAAAUCUUUUGAAAAACUGAUUAAUCGGACAAGAAUAAAGAUACAGUCCCAUUCUACAUGUCAAUAUUAAUACCGACAACAAUGAAAUUUAUAGUAAGAGAAAAAUCCGUCAACUUUAAAAAUCGUGAGGGUUCAAGUCCCUCUAUCCCCAACCCUAAAAAACUUGUUUGCUGUCUAUUUAUUUUAUCCUAUGCUUUUUGUUAGUGGUUCAAAGUUUCUUAUGUUUCUCAUUCAUCCUAAAAAAAAUUGUAUUAACAUCAAUCUGAUUUAAAAAUAGAUAAAUACAUAAAUUCCUAUUCUUGGCUAAAGUUAAAUUCACAAAGAAACAUCCUGAAAAUUGGGAAGAAAGCUACAAUUAGAGGCAAUCCACUAAACGAUAACAGGCUAAAGUUUGUUUACCACCAUAACUGCUGCUAUCAAAACUUUGCUGCAAAUGCCUUAGCAUAUCAUACGCCCUAGAUGAAACCCAUCGCAGAUAAUCGCCGGAAGUAGAUGGAAUCGUACUGUCCAAAUGAAGCGCCCUUUCAACCUCCUCUUUUUCACCAUCAUCAACGUCAUCAUCAUUACUGCCACAACCAUCUUCUUCUUCUCUUCUCUCAUCCCCACCGUUGAAUUCACAUUUACAAUCAACAACUCGACUCAAUCUCUCUUUAGGCAUCACAUUGAAGAAAGACGUCAAGCGAGAAAGAUGCGUAUUGGUGGCAAUGGAAAACUUUUAUGUAUUUUUAUAUAUUUAAAUUUGUAUAUAUUUUUAUAACUUUUUUUUAAAAAUAAUUUAAAAUAUCAAAUUAUGACAUCAGCAUUACCACAUGUCACUAAUUAAAAAAACAUGUACUAAGCUUAACACCGAUACAAAAAAGUAUCAAAAGUCUUGACCGAAUGAAAAUUCGGUACCAAUUUGAGACAAAAAAAAAAAAAAAACUAUAAGUACUAACUUAGAAAAAAGUGACAAAUCCAGGGGCUAAAUGAGCAUUUAAGCCAGUGCAAAAAAGUUACAUUAAUUUACAAUGCCAUUGUUUUCAUGUGGAGGGUUAGUUUAUCCAAUGUAGCAUAGAUUUCCUCUGUUCUCUUAUGAGACUUAUCGUAUGCAAGAAAUACGUGAACAUCAUCCCUGUCUUCUAUCCAACUACAUCCUGGGAUCUUAUACAUCCCAAUGUCUUUAAUUUUUUGUCUUGUUCUUGCUAGAUCAGACCAUUUUCCAGCAUAAGCAUAUAAGUUUGCCAAAAGUACAUAGUUCGCGGUAUUAUUCGUUUCCAACGCUACAAGUCUCUCGGCUGCGACUUCUCCCAACUUGAUGUUGUCAUGAAUAACACAGCCGCUAAGCAAGGCACCCCACAUCACUGAAUCAACUUCCACCGGAACGCUCUUGAUUAGUUCAUAAGCUUCAUUAAGCUGACCAGCUCGACUAAGCAGAUCAAUCAUGCAUGUAUAGUGUUUUAUAGUGGGUUUGACAUCAUAGUGCUGCAUCAGAUUGAAUAAUUCCCGGCCCAUCUCGACUGACCCAACGUGAACACAUGAAGAAAGAGCUGAAAGGAAAGUGACAUGAUCCGGCCUACAGCCAUUUGUUAUCAUUCUUCUAAACAGAGCAAUUCCAUCCUCCCCGUGUCCAUGCAUGGCAUAUGCUGUUAGCAUAGCAUUGUGGGACACCAAAUUUGGGUCUAAGAUUCUAUUAUAUGCUAGUACUGCAUGAUGUAUACUCCCACAUUUGGCAUACAUAUCCACAAGUGCUGCCCCUAUGUAGACGUCAGCGUCAUAACCACAUCGAACUGAAUGUGCAUGAACCUGCUUUCCCCGCUCGAUGGUGGCUGACCUUGAACAAGCAGGUAAAACUAUUCCAAUAGUGUAAAUGUCAGGCCUUAUAUUUGAAAUCUGCAUUUCAGAGAACAAUUGCAUGGCUUUAUCAUGGUGGUCAUUUUCCACAUGACCUGCAAUGAUACCGUUCCACGAAUAAACAUUGGGCUCGAAACCAUCUUCUUUCAUUUUUGUAAGCAGAUGCUGAAGGUCUUCAAUCUGAUUGCAGCGGGAAUAGCCAGAUAUCAGAGCAUUCCACGUUGAUGUAUCACGCUCGCUCACUUCAUUGAAAGCAAUUUGUGCAGCCAUUAUGUCUUGACAUUUACAGUACAUUUCUACCAAAGCUCCCCCAACAAAGGUAUUAUAUUGCAGGCCUCUAAUAAUGGCUUGAGAGUGUAUCUCUUUCCCGAUUCUCAAAGAAGACGUAUCCGUACAAGCAGUAAGAACACUCCCUAGAGUGAAAGAAUUGGGUUCGAUCCCAUCUUCUGUAAGAACAUGUUUAAAUAAGUUCAAAGCUUCUUCAAACAGGGAAUUAUUUACAUAUCCAGAUAUCAUCGAGUUCCACGAAAUUAUAUCUUUCUUGAUAGCCAUUGUCCUCAUCUGAUCGAAUAGCUCCUUGGCCUUGGAGACAUUACCAUUUUCACAAUACCCAACAAUCAUUGUAUUACAAGAGACCACAUUUUUCAGUGAGAACUUUGAAAACAAUUGGAAAGCACUCAUCAUAUCACCACACUUCCUAUACACAUCAAUUAACCCAUUGACAACAAUGGGGUUAGACAUUAACCUAUGCCUCGUGAUAUAUCCAUGAAAUUCUUUGCCAAGGUUCAGCUUCUGUAAUCUAGCAAAAGCUGGAAGAACACUUGCUAGAGUUUGUGCGUUUGGUUCAAUGCCUUCUCUGACCAUUCUAAACAACAUCUCAAUGGCUUCUUCAUCAUAUCCAUUUUGCGAGAAACCCCCAAUGAUUGCACUCCAAGAAACAAGAUUUGGUCUUGAAUUUUCGCACAAAGACAUUGUUUCGAAAAAACCCAAUGCUUCGAACACCUUUCCAUUGAUAGCACAAGCGGUAACAAUAGCAUUCCAUGACACACGAUCUUUUUCAGGCAUUGUCUCCAACACCUUCUUAGCAUCGUCCAAGCUUCCACAUUUACCAUACAUAUCAAUCAAAGCAUUACCUACAUAAAUAUUAGAAACAAACCGAUAUUUAAUCAAAAUCCCAUGCAAUUGUCUUCCUAAUUCCACGUUACCAAGGCCACUACAAAUUUGUAACACAACGGGAAACACGAAAAAGUCCAAUAAAACAUCGUCGAACUGUAGUUUAUCGAACAGACAAAAAGCUUCUUCAAAAAGCCCGUUGUCAACAUGCAAGCUAAUCAUAGCUGUCCAAGAAUACAAGUUUCUCUUCGUCAUUUUAUCGAACAACAAAUCCGCAUCACCCAAACAACCAAACCUUCCAUACAUUUGGAGCAACUUGGUGUCCACAAACUCCUGCCCGGAAAACCCAGUUUUAAAAGUAUGAGCAUGGACCUGUUUCCCAAGUCUGAGGUUAUUGCAAGAUUCGAGAAUUGAAGCAUAGGUGCUUGAACUUACUGGUUUAUCAAACAAGGAAAGGGUGUUGGGCAUGUGAGAGUGAGGUUUGGGAAGGUUUUGGUUCAGUGGUGGUGGGAUGGCGAUGGGUUCCAACACUUGAGAAAUCAUAGUAUUAUUUUGGGUGUGGGCGGCAGGCCGGUAGCCAGCUCAAGUACCAGAAACGGAAAACAAGGGAAAUUGCUAACAUGUGCAGUAAUAGUAACAAAUGACAAGGUGCCCCCAAUAAUAACGCUGUCACUGUCAGGUGUGAAUUCAUCUUAGGAUAAUUUAUGGGUCAGUUUGGUUACAGGGACGCCAUGCCCUAAAUUAUGGUCGAAGGGCUAAUAGGAAAAUUAAAUGCUUUAAUAAUUUUAAUUUCUAUAUUUUUUAUAUUCUUAAAUUUUAGUAUCACUUUAAAUGGUAACAAUUAAAUCCGUUUUUAUUAAAUUUUUUUAUUAAUACGUAUUAUAUACAAGUUGUGAAUUUAAUUAUUUUUAAUUUUUAUACUUUUUUAAAUUUUAAAUUUCAAUUCUAUUUCAAACUGCAAUUGUUAAACCAUUAAGUAAAGAAAAAUAUUUGGUACACUUAGACUCCACAAGCGGGGAUGGUUGAAAAUGUUGCCCAUCUCUUUCCCAAUUACAUGACAUUGAAACAAAGCCAAUCGACCCAAUGAAUUAAAAAAAGAAAAGAAACACACUGUAUUACACACCAUGAGAGAAAAGUUAUGUAAUAAGUUUAUAAUAUAAAAUUAAAUAUUUUUUUAAUUAAAUUGGUAAUGCUAGAAAAUAGUGAAUGUAAAGAUAUUUUUGGUUUAAAUUUUUUUUAUUUUCAUAGAUGUUAUAUAAAAAAUAAAAAUAUUCUCAUAAAAAUAUUUAUUAUUUUAUAUAAAUAAUGAAAUUUGAUAAAUUCAUAAUUAAAUUGAAAUGUAAUUCAUACAUGACAUCAAUCUAUUCAAAAUUUUAAAUAAAUAAAAUAUCAUAAAUAUAAUUUUAUCUUUUAAUACCUAAGGUCUGCAAAUAUUCUCAGUGUACACAAUAUUAUUCUAUAAUAUAUAGGAAUGAUAGAAUCUUUAGAACAAUCUUUGAAAGAUAUUGCUUGGGUGGAGAUUAUAUUAUUAUUAUUAUUAUUAUUUAUUCAGCACAGUUUCCAAGCAGAAUGUUUAUGCAAAGGUCCAAUUUCAAAUAAAAUAUUUAUAUAAUGAAAUAUGAGAAUCAAAAUUAAUAAUAUUAUUAUUAUAAUCAUAUUUAUUUUUUUGACAUAAUAUUUAAAAUUACCUAUAAUUUCUCCUAGUUUCUAAGUAUACAUAAAAAAUUAAUCCGUUUUAAUACACUCAAAUGUUAUUAAAUGUUUUUAAAUGAAAAAAUAUGGACUAACAAUGCAACCGCCCAAAAAAAUUCAGCCAAAUACUAAUCUGUUCAUAAAACACAUAUGAUCGAAUAACCAAAAAUCAAAAUGCAGCAAAAGUGGUUCAAAUUUGAGAGUUAUUAUUGAGAGAUUAUCUGAAUACAAGUCCGGGCCCUAACUCAAACAUCAAACUAGGUUGUCAGUAGUGUCACUGAUCUUGUAAGAAAAAGAAAACCCUACUUCUUCCUCUUUAACCAUGUUAAUAUUAACGUAGGCUGUUUUCAUUUCAACAAUGUCCAGUAGAUUCUCCCUGUUCUUUGUCCUCAUCCAAUUCGUUCAUAGUGUUCACUGGAACCUGCUUCGAUUCCUCCUUUACAGGAAGCAAAAGCCUUUCACCAUUUUCUUCUACCCCUUGAUGAUUCUCAUCAUAACCAGUUCCAAAUCCAUCACUAGAAAAUUUUAGACCGGGGUCUAGAACUGGGAACCCACUUGAGUAUAUUCCGGUGCUGGCACCACCAAUCUCCGGCAUAAAGGGCAACCUUUGCGAGCUAUUGUAAGCCUGAGCCGGUACUACUGGUGGAUACGCUAGGUUAAUGACUUGAUGAUGAUCACCUUCAUGGAUCUUAGGGUUUUGAUGAGUCAAAUGAUCAUCAUCAAGCUUCUUUGAUGAUGAUGUCUUGUUCUUCCUUGAACCACCACCAACGGGAACGUUCCUUAAGGAACCACCAUGGGUCCAAUACCUUCUACAAGUCUUACAGAAGUAUCUUGGCUGAGAAAGGCUGUAGUUGUUAUAAUAACAAAACUUGGUGUUUGUUGAAUUGCACCUUGGACAGUUCAAAUUAGCUUCACCUUUUUGAACCCUAGCUGAAGAUCUUGAGUAUUCUCCUAUGGCCAUGGGCUUAGUUACCCCAAUUCCCUGGAAAUACAUGAGUACUUCAUCAUCAUCAUCAUCAUCAUCAUCAUAAUAAUAGUAACUUUUAUCAUUUCAACUAUUAGUGGGACUGAACUGAACUCAAACAAGAAUCAUCUCAAGGCUAAAAAAAGGUGAAACUUUAAAGCUAGUUAUCCAUGAGAAAAGGGGAAAAAGAAAAGAACUCAAGACCCAAAGCCAUAUAUAUAAUGAUGAAUUCAUAUGAAAAACAACAAAAAUUAAAGAAGACCCUUCACUUUACCUGUUCCCACUGAGUGGCCUCCAUGGAUUAAGAACUGAGAAAUAAAAAGGUGAUUAGCCUUUGGCAAUCCCCUGCUGAUCUUAAAAGCCAAAAGAAAAAACUACAUAAAUAAAAGGACGAAAAAGACUUUGAGAGCUGGCCUACCACUACUAUAAAAUGAAAGAAAGGGGGCAUUUGAAACAGGGACUAUUUCGUCUUUGUGUUGUUAUUUCAUUAUCAUAAGAAAUAACAAUGGCUACAGUCUUAAAGUCUAAAAAUAUGGAAACUUCGAAUAUAUACCUGAUUUUUGAAGGUCUUCUUUUAAAUUGUGAAAGAGGAAAAGGACAAGUUUAGGUACAAGUGAUGAUCGGUUUGUUCCAAAUUUUAUAGAUAAAAAAAUCAUUGACAUUGAACCCAGCAAAAGUUAUAGGACCGACUUAACUCAUUGAAAUCGACAUUAAUUCAAUUCAAUCAUCUAUUAAUUAAUUAUUCUUUCCAAAAAAAAAACUUUCAAAAAGUUAUUACAAUAUUUAUAUGUUUUUAAAUAUGGAUAAAUUAUACUCGGUGUCACUAAACUAUUACUAACUUUACGUUUUAGUCACUUAAUUUUAAAAAGUUAUAAAAUGGUCUGAACUACUCGAAAGUUUUCAUUUAAGUAAUUGGGCUGUGAAAAUCGUUGUUGUAUGACUUUCUCUCUUCGCACCGCCUACACCAACCAAAAUUUUUUCCAAUUAUCUUCUAAAGUUCAAACAACUUUUAAUGUCACAAAUAUGUAAAUCAAAAUCCAAACAACUUUCUUUUUUGAUUUCCUACACUGACAAUCGAAUCGGCUUGGAUCUAAUGUAUAUUCUUUUACUAAUCAAUGUGUACUAAUCCACCGUACCGGUCAUCAAAUCGUCAAUUGAAGUUCGCUAACGAAACUUUUUUUAAGAAAAGAAAACUUAAAUAAAAACUUUUAAAUAGUUUAGUGACUUAAAUGAAAUUUUAAAAAAAAAUUUAGUAACCAUUUUAUAACUUUUUUAAAUUAAGAAACUAAAUCAUAAAUUUAUUAACAGUUCGGUGAUCUUAAAUCUAGUUUAUUCUAUAUAUAUUAAUAUUUAUUCAAAUCCAAUUAUUAAAUUAUUAUCCAAUUAAACUCAUAUCUUCAAUAAAUUGCAUAUAUUAAACUUACAGCAGAUUUGUUUUCCCAGGAACCGGUGGAUUUCACAUUCACUUGCAUUGAAGCUUUAAUCCAGUCCGAGCCCAGAUAGUGUGAUGAGACUAGCAUUGUAAAUUGGGUGGGUUAGAUUGUUUUAGAUUUGAAUAAAUUUAGAUACUAUCCAUCUGGGUUUUCUCAAAUAAAUUUUGGGUUUAAAUUAUUUUCAAGUUUUGAUUUUUAUAAGUUUGAAAUUUUAGAGUUAUUAUUAUUUUAGGGUUGAAUCAGUUUGAGUUUGAAUCAUCGACUUGUUAAAUGUAUAUUAAAUGUCAGAGUACAUUUUGUCCCCUUAAAAAAGAGUUAGUCACUGUACAUUAGAUUAAUGAGAAAAUUGAUCCUUAUGUUGAAGUACAGAGAUUAUUUUUUAACAGUAAAAAUAGAUGAAAUUUUUAAUAGAAAUAUCAAAUUACUCUUUCAUCUUUGAGCAAAAGGAACAAAAUAUUAUUCAACUCCUAGUAUAAAGGCUUGCCUGAAUUUAAACAAAUUAAAAUUCGAUAAAUUAAAACUAGACCACGAGAGAAGUCCAAAUUCAAAUACCCUCACUAGUCCAAGUUCAAAGCCCAUUUUAUGUGGCCUCUGUGACUGUCGUGGGCUUAAAGGGAAAGUUGAAGAGUUCAUGUAGAAAUGGGCCAUAAUUGAUAAGUGUAUUAUCUCAUAAUAUGUUGAUUUCAAUGAAACAGAUGUGGAAGUAUUUUCAUUACGCACAAUAUUAAUCUUUAAAUCUCGUCAAAUAUGAAAUUUCUAUACAUUUCGAGAAAGUUUCAAAUGAUGACAUUACUGUGUACCUCCCUCUCAACCAACACAGAUUUCAAAACAUUAUGAGUUUUGAUUAAACCACUUAUGGACCACCCUAUUGGUUCAGAUUUCAAAAACACAAGAAAAAAAAGGGUUUGUGUUUAUUCUAGUAGGGUGGUCCAAAAUGUAAGGCUUUUGUAAUAAAUUGUACAGCGAAAGCACAAAAUAAGCAUUAGGAGUGUGAGUGGAGAGGUAUCCGCCGUCAGAUUAGAAUCAGAUGAACAGCCACAAGAGAGGUGGUCCGAUUUUCAUCACCAUUGUUAAGCUGCCAUCGGAUGAAACCCCGCAAUAAAAGGCGGUGGUCCCUCCUUCACUGUUUCAUUGUUUUAAUAUGCUGUGAACCGGGAAAUUUUUACCUGCUUCUAGGUAACGUCUUAGGUAUGUUUUAUUGUUUUAAUUGCUUGUAAUUAUUGGGUGUAGUCGAAUUAUAGUUUUUAAUUCUUAGAUAUUGGGUGAAAUUUGGAGUAAUAACGUAAUUAAUUAUAUUGAAAUUUAAAUUUUUCAUAAAUAAUUUUUAUAAGUUAUAAAAAUUAUAUUAUAAACAUAAAUACAUAUGAGUGUUUAGGAUCAUAGAAAAAGAUUUCUUAUAUUCUAAAUCCCAAAAAUAUUAUAAAAAAUAUUUUAUAUAUUUUUAAAAUUAUAUUAUUUAAAUCUUAAAAAAAUUAACAUUAUAGUCAACAUAUUAUAAAAGAGUUAUUAUAUAUUUAUUUAUAAAAAGUUGCGAUCAAGUAUGAACGUAACUUAUUUAUGUAUCCAAACUAUAUAUUAUAUUCAUAAAAAAUGUUAUAAUUUUUUUCCAUAACUUAUUUAUAAAAAAUAAUUUUCUAAAGUUGUAGAAAUUUUAUACUAUCUAUAUGAAAGUUUUGAAAUUUUAUAAUUUUUUUUUAAAGAUUAUAUGUUAUGAAUUUUAUAUUAUUUUUAUAAAAAAUGAAUUUGACCUAGCAUAAGUUUUUCUCCGAAUUAAGUUUAUAUAAGUUUUUAUAAUUAAAGUUACAAACUAUUUGGACUAUGAACUUAAAUAUUAUAAGGUUGAUGUUAAUUAUAUAAAUAGAAAUUUUUUUUGCACUAUAUUGUAGGGUAUGAUACCAUUCUCUCAAAUGGUGCCAGACACAAGCACCAUAGACAACUCGCGAACUCUUUAAUUUCAAACAUAUGUGGCUUCGAAAUGUGGUUGAUAAGACAAUUGUUGUUUUUAAAAACAUUUAUCAUAUUAACAAUGUCACCUUAGUAUAUCAUAAAAAUCAAGGUUGGAUCUUAUUAACAUUAUGUAUAUUUCAUAACUUCAAUCACAAGGGGAAUUCAAGACAACUCAUACUUUGUAGAGUACAUGAGAGAAUGAGAUAUUAAUAAUUUUAAUGAUGUGGAUUCAAAUUCAGAUGAUGAUGAACUUAGUUAAUGACCGACAUAUAAUGAUAAGAAGUAUAUGUUAAAUAUUAAAAAGGGAAUAACCUAACCAAUAUGCAAUAGAAAAAAUAGAUAAAAUUGCAUAUGAUGUUUACUUUUCUUGCUAUUCUUAUUAGGAAACGUAUUAUCGACUACUUUUUUAGACUAACAUAACAUAUAUGAUGAUUUGAUUUUAAUUUUUGUUACUUGUUUAGAAAUUAUUUUUAUCAUACUAUUUUUUUAUAGUAAUUAAUAUUUUAAAAAAUAUAAAUUUUAUAAAUGUGUAAUUAUAACUUGUAUUACCAAACAUGACAUAAAGAUUUAAGAAAUAAUUACAUUUUGUUAACCAAACACGUAUAAGGAAUUACAAAUCUUUAUAAUUAUAAUAAAAAAAUUACUAUCUUAAUAAUUAGACUUUCAUUCAAUUACUCUAUAUUGUCCAAAAAAACCUUAGUUUUUCUUUCGGUGUUGUAAGAUCUAGACAACGGCGAGCAUAUAUUCGAAAUUCGUACUAUUUUUUGUAAAGUACAAAAUAUAAUGUUGUUGCAUUACAACUAGGAAUCGAAGGAAAAGAAGAGCUUAAAUAUGAAAUUAUAUAUAUCACAAGAAUAUUUUGUUUUUUAAGAAAAAAAUUCUUAGUAUUUUUUUAUUUCAGAGAUAAAUAUAAAAAAUAAAGAUAAACUUUAGUUUGAUGCAAGUACGUAUAUUAAGAUUUGGUUGUGAUUUAAAUGUACAUAUUAAAUUUUGAUUUUAAUUCAAUUAUACAUAUUGAAAGAAAUAAAUAUAUCUAUUUAUUUUCAUAUUGGAUUAAAAUAGUUGCUUGUGUAUGCAAUACAUUGUUGAGGGGGUCGUCUUUUUUUUAGACGUUUUCGAGGUGUUGUUCGUCAGGCAAUUGACCAAUCUCCCAACAACCGAAUGGAUUGUCCCUUAGGGGUGUCAUCCCUCGUACUUUGUCGAGAGCUAGUGUGUCGUAUGGCUAUCCUAAAGGCCUGGUUCAUAGAGUUGAGAGCAUUUUGACCAUACGUGAGCGUCUCAUCGUUGGUGGGGUUCGACCCCCUAAUCUAUGGUAUAUAGGUCACUUGUUGAGGAAGUUGGUACCACUUAAUCUACAUGAUAAUAGUCAAAAUUAACAUAUUUUAGCCUCAUUCUUAGUGCAUUUUUGGGUGGUUAUGUGGUGCUACUUGUUAAUUACAUACUCCUAAUCCUUUAUAUUCAUGUUUUGAUACUUAAUAGAGCACUUGAUAGAGUGAAAAACGGGUGAAAAUUAGAACAUUGGAGCAGUCCAGAAGCUAAACAAGUGCAAUAGAGAUUUACACGUGCAAACCACACAGCCGUGUGACUCAAACAGGUGUAUGGAUUUCACAAACCGUGUGCAUUGACUGUUAGAGUAUGCCCAAAGAUCAAUCAUGAGAUGGUUGUAAUAACAUACUUGAUUUAUCAUGUUUAUUAAUAUAAGGCGUUACCAUUAUUAUUUCAGUUUCUUUUCUGUGUAUAUAAAUAAACUGUUUUAUAAUAAUGUCCUGAGAAUAAUAUGAUUAUUCUUAAAAGUUCCUUAGUCAAGUAUUAUUGUUGGAUAGGACAACGAUAAUGCAUUAAGACUAACGUGUAGUUGAUUGAUGAUAAAGAGUUGUCAUUGAUAUGGAAUGUCAGAAUCAUUACAUGAAUAUGUGUGUUAGAGAACAACAUAUUGGACUGACCCGUUAUGAGUAUGUUUCUUGGAUUAUUAUGUAAUUGUCACGACAUUACUCAUAAUGAUUAAUAUUUAUAUGAUCCUCAGACUUGAGAUCAUCAUAAUCCCAACAUCGUGAGUUGUAUAUUUUGAUACAGUCAAACGUACACCGUANNNNNNNNNNNNNNNNNNNNNNNNNNNNNNNNNNNNNNNNNNNNNNNNNNNNNNNNNNNNNNNNNNNNNNNNNNNNNNNNNNNNNNNNNNNNNNNNNNNNGAGGGAUAUGGUUGGUCGAUAUAGGAUAAGUCCCUCCUACAUAAUGGGAGUAAUAUCUUAGGCCACUUGAUUAAGUAAGACUAGAAAUGCAUGGCCAUGCUCAAAUAAGUUGAUAUUAGAUGUCAUACUUAUUUGUAUAUCGUAGUCUGCUUAAGAUAUCAAGGAACAUGGAAUGGACAAUGCAAUUGUGACUAUUUCAUGACUUGUGUCCAAUCCAGAGAUAAAGGACUUAAGGAUUAUUGCAUAAAAGGUUAAUCAUAAAAAGGUUAUGUCGAAUCAUGAUCUCUUGUGACUUAGGUAGCAAUGAUGCAUUGCUAGAUGCCACUCAUUGUUCGUAGUAUUAGAAUCGUUCUAGUGUUACUGCUAACGUUACAAGAACCUACAGGGUCACACCCUAUAGUUGAAAUGAACGAAAUAUACCAUAGUUGGUAUUGUUUUUGGGGUCGCUUGAAUUAAAUUAAUUAUAGAAUUAAUUUAAUUCGGUAAUCAAAUUUCCAACACAUUAUGUACAAGGUUGUUGUACGUAUAGUGAGGACAUGAAUUUGGUUAGCAUAAGAAUUCAAAUAAAUAUAUGGUUUACCGAACUUAUAUUAUAAUUAAUGUAAUUAUAAUUUUCGGUUUAAAAUAUUAUCAUAUUUAUUUAAUUCUUAAAAACCCUAAAAAACAAAAUGAUAUAAAUAAUCACGUUUUUCUUUGUUUGAGUCUAGCAGCCGCAUAAGAAAAAUAACUCUCAAAAUUGUUUUGGGGAUUCCUUCCGUUCGUAGUCAACUGGGUGGAUUACGUAGAGACCGGGAUCACGAUAGAUUGAGAUUUUGAUUCGACAGCAGAUCAGACUACUUGUUGUUGAGGUGUUGCUGUCUACUCUGAAUAAACAUUAGGUAAAUUCGUAACCUUGAUCACCCCGAUUCGUUCCUCACACAUGGAUCCAUGGUUAGGGUCGCCGAUUUUAAUUUUUCCGCUGCGCCGUAGGGGUGCCGGCGAUCCAACAUUGACAACUAGAAGUGACGAUUUUUAGGGGUUUUUUUUUUUUUUGCACUUGGAGAAGGUAUAAAAACGGGAAUACAAUAGGAGGAAAGUAGCCGUAAUAGGAUAGCAAAAAGUUACCCCAAGAACACCAUUGAAGCCGAUUUCCAAGCAAUUUGCCAUCAAGGUUCGAGAGUCCAAGCUGAUUUUCGAGGGAGUUAUCAUGAAUUUCUUUUAUUUUAAUGGUUAUAUUGUAUUUUUGGUGUUCAUUCUUGCAAUUAUGGACUAAUUCUCUUAAUACCUAGGGGAGAUGAACCCUAGGAUGGAUUCUAUUUUUUGAUUUCUAGUUUUAUGCAAUAAAAUCUUAGUUUAUUUGUUUUCAAUUAUGAAUGCUUAAUUAUUUUUGAGUUGAUAAUUCUAUGGUGUUGAUCCAUGUUUGAUGUGUAUAAAUCUGAGGUUGAAAAGACCAUUCUAGUGAUAAUGUCUUAUAUAAUUGAAUAGAGUUGCAUACAAUCAUAAAAAUAGAACGACAUAAACUCUCUAAGGGACAAUACCUUCAAUUAUUGAGAGAUCAAUAGAUUACCUGAUAAACGAUACUUCAAAGAUUUCUCUAUUGAUUAAAUGGUAUAAUUACCAUCAUUUCUUUUAUAGGGAUUAACCAAGCGCUUUCACUCCAUAAAUCAUUGAACAAAGGGAAAGGUAAAAAAUCCCCUCAUGAUCAAUAGUCGCAUACCCUAAACUUAAAUUAAAAAAAAAAACCCACCAUCCAUGCAGAGAGAGAAGUGGAUUCAGCGGCCUACCCCACCACCAGCAACUUGUUUGGUGGGAACUGUCUGAAGCCAUGACAUAACAUUCAAAUGGACAGCUUUUUCUUCUUUAAUUUCUUUCUAUGGUAUUUGGUGCCAUAGAUUUUAGUUUUCCAAGAUUUAUGAAUAUGCAUCCGUAGUACUAUACACUGGGUGAUGAGCCCCAUCAUCACAUUUAUCUAAAUUUCUAUAUCACUAUCACAAAUCACUCAUCCUUACCUGCCCUUCUUCAUUUUCUUUUUCCUUUUUUCAGUUUGAAUUUUAAGUUUUUUCUGCCCUAAAUGGCUCUGCAGUAAUUUAUUUCUUCAUUUUAUACCAAACGCUUCUCUCAAUAUUGAUCUUGGAUGGACUCUAUUUAAACAUACAUAUCAACACUGUAAAUUAUAAUUUCUGGACAAAAUAACAUUUAGUAAUUGAAAUUGGUAAUAUUUUUAUUUUAGUCCUUGAUUUUUUAUUUAUUUAAUUUUAAAGUUUAACAGGUUUUCUCAAUUUGAUCCUUAAACUUGAAUUCUAUUAAGGCAUAAUGAUGUGACACAAUAUUAAAGUAUCACAUCAUCAUUUGAAUUUUAAAAAAAAAAUCAAGAAAAAAAUUAUGAUUUCUUUAUUUUGUCUUUUUAGAUUUUAUAUAAAAAAAAAUUUAUAGGUGAUAACAUGGCACAAUCUAAAAAUACCAUACCAUCACUAUUUUAAUAGAAAUUAAGUUCAUAAGCUAAAUUGAAAACAAAAAAAAAAGUUGUUAAGCGUCAAGAUUAAGUGGACCUCCAAAAAAAUCAAGAAUCAAAUAGAGAAAAUUUAUCAAUUUUUAUUGAUUAAAUGUUAUUUUAUCCCUUUAAAAAAUAAAUACUGUAACCAUAUCAACAAUUACCAUGACAAUAUAUAAAAUAUUAUUUUAAACUUAAACAAAUCAUUUAAAAUAUAUUACUAAAGAAUAUUAUUAGGAUUUGUUAAUUCAUCUAAACUAGAAUUAUUCAUGGUCAGCCCUGAUUUAGGUUAAGCACUAACAUAAUUUUAGAUCCGAUCAUUAGGUUUGAGCCUGAUUUAAAAAAUAAACAUAAAUUUUAUUUAAGUUCGAGUCGAAUAAAAAUAUUAAAAUUCAAGUUCGGCUCAGUCUGUCAGUAUUAUUUUUAAAAAAUAUAUUUUUAAAUAUAUAAUAUACAAAAUAUGCUAAAAAUAUUAAAAUAAAUAUUUCCCAACAAAUUAAAAAUAAAUUUAAAAAAUAUUUAUACUUAAAUAACACAAGUGCAACUUAACAAACAAAUACCUCUAAAAUAAUAGCAAAAUUAACAAUAAAAUAAAGUGUUAUACAAUAUUUAAUAUAGCAGCAACAUAAUAAUGAAAUGGUAACAAAACAGUGAGAAAACAACAUCAAAACAACAAAGUUUCUUUUAUUGCAAAUUCAAGCCGGACUGAGCCCGGGCCAAAAAACCUUACCCGAUACCUGGCCCAUUUUCUAAUUUGACCUUAUUUUUUAUCAAAAUUCAUUUUUCUAGUAAUAUUUCUACCUAAACUCUCUCAUUUUUUGAACAAACCUUCGAACCGAACCACAUGGCUUGGCCAUGGAGAACUCUAAUCUUAACUUAAAGGGAAUAUACGAAAUUACAAAUAAUGAAUGAAAUUUUUUUUAGAAUCAUGAAUAUGAAUUAUUAUAACCUAAUCGUGAAAUAUCUAUAUUUUAAUUAUUGAGGUAAGAAAAUUUAUAAUAAUUAAUACAUGCAUAUAUUAAGAAGGGGAUAUCAAAUAUCUAUAAUAUACAAAUAUAUAUUAUUCACCUUUAACCUAAGAGCUUUUUUAAUGUCUAUAAUUAUUGGUAGAGGAACUUUCCAGCAGCCCAAAGAAAAAAAAAAUUCGUACGUGGAAUUUGGAAAGGAAAAAAGAAAAUUAUAUUCUUAUGGAAACAGCAUCGAAAUUAUUGAGAAAUUAUAUUUAGCCAACUCCCUGCUUAAUAAUAUAUUCCUUAAUUAAUUUCAAUCGAGAAUAAUAUUAUAAGAUGAAACUUCCACAGCCCAAUGUUUUUCCAUGCUUUCGUAUAAAUUAAAUAUAAUUUAUGGUUGCAAUAAUUAUUUUACUCAACUUUAAUUAAUAUUAAAAAUAUAUAAUUACUUAUUUAAAGUUUAUUAAUAAAAAAAUAUACAUAGGCAAUCCUUUCACUUCAUCUCCAACCCGUUUUAAUGCACUCGAACUUAUAUCCUCUUAUAUUGAUAAUAAUGUCUAUGCCAAUCAAACUAAUACUCAUUCGACAAAAUUAAAACAUGUUUCAACUUAAAGAAAAGUUAGUAACAAACUUAACCACAAUCCCAAAUGGUGCAUGCAUGGAUCACAUAGGUGGUUUUCAAAUAAAUUUCUUGCUUAAGAAGCAAGUAACCUAUCAGUUGGUUUUUUUAUGCAAAAUAUUUUUAUAAAAACUUGAGAAACAUAAUUUCUUGGACUUUUUUUUUUCGAGAACACAAGUGUACAUUUAUAAUAAAUAAGAAAUAUAUACAAUUUUAUUUUAUUUUAAUAAAAAUAUUUAAAAAAAACCUAUUUUGAUUUUCAAAGUCAUGCAAUGCAUGUAUAUAUGUGGGAUGGUGCACCAACUUUUGGAAAAGAUUUAUGAUUUAACAACCACCGCCCCCCCUCCCCAUAAAUGUGCACAACCCAUGCCACCUAUGGCAACCAUGUGCACCAAAGCAAUGAUCCCAACUCAAUGACUUUGCCUACAAAUAUUCUAAAUUCCAAUACUUUUAGCAAAAAUCAUGGCUAAUUAACCAUUUCUUAACAAAAAAAAAAAAACAAAUAUUUCUUAAUGAAAGGGGAAUUUUGUUCAUGCAUGACGUUGUUUAAGGAACAAAAGGGGUGAGGACAUUGAAAUCCUCUUUUUUUAACUAGUAUUAUUUAAAAAAUUCGAUGCUUUUAAAAUUAUGUAUUUUUAUACUAUCAUGAUAUUGGUUUAGUGGUAACUUAUACGCGAGUUCAAGUAAAGGCGAAGUUAAGAAUUAUUUCGAGGUUAGAAUUAAGUUAUAUAUAGUUUUAGAGUUAAAAUAUAAUUUCAUCAUUGUAUUAGUUUAUAUCAUUAUAAAUUUUAAAAAAAUAAAUUAAAAAUUAUCAUUUUUAAGAGGUCAAAGCUCAAUUUAAUCAUUUAUAAUUUUAUAAAAUAUGAAGAAUCAAUGUGAUAUUUUUUUUCAUUUUAGGGCACUUUGGAACACUUUAACCCUUUCCUUAAACAUAAUGCAACUUUUUUGUGUAGAAAAAAUGCUAGUAAAAUUUGGGUUUGCAUAAUUUAUAAAAUUAUGGGUUUUAUUUAAGCAUUUAUCAAAAUAAUAUAUGUUUUAAAUUAUUUAUUGAAAUAAUAUAAAAUAAAUAGUAAAAGUUUAAAAAUAAAAGAAAAAUCAUCAUGGAGGAUGGCUAUUUCCUAAUAUUUUUUCUAGUAAGUUAAUAUAACAAAAAAAUCUUUGUCACAUUAAAAUCCCAAAUCAUCACCGUGAAUAAUGAUUUUAGUCAUUCGCUAUGAUAUUGCUGAAAGCAUGUUAAAUUGAUAAAUAAUUUUUAAGAUAAGUUGUUUUAAUAAUUAAACUUCAUUUAUAUGUAAAAAAAAAUUUGAUAGGUUUAUAUUAAAUUUUGUUAAGUUAAUUCCUAAUUAUUGACGCUUAAAAUAACACAUUAAUGAUAUAUAUUGACUUAAAUGAUUAAUUAAAUCAUUGAAACGAAGAGGUUUUUUCAAGCAUUUAAAUUUAUAUUGAUACUACAAUAAAUAAAUAUAUAGACAGUGGCUUAGCUUAGUAGAGACCUAGAGGCUAUAGCCUUUCUUAAAAUGAUAAAUUUUUAAUUUAAAAUUUUUAUAAUUUAUAAAAUUUUAAAUUAAUAACAAAAUUACAGUUUGUCCUUUUAAAAUGAUAAAAUUUUGAUUUAACUCUUUAAAAAUUAUAAAGAUAUACAUCACUAAAAUUACAUUUUUACUAUUAUAAAUAUAUACCAUUUAAUUUUUAUCUCUCAACAAACUUUUCGGACUCCGCGAAUGCAUAUGGAGAUUUAGAUCUAAUUCUUUUAAAAGGAUAUGUAUCAAUUUGUUGAGCAAAAUAAGUGCUACACAGUUUCAACGACUAGAUACCGUAGAUAAUGACUUGUCUGUAGCCCAUGCCCAUGGUGAAACAAAAAUGUUUUUUUUUUUUUUAAAUAAAAGAAAAUAUAAGUUCUAAACAAUAAAGAUUUGAUGGGAAAGGGUGGAUUCUUCACAAGUGCCUGAAACCUGUGACUGAACCAUUUAUAUAGUAUCAUUGCUUUCUUGUCUUGGAACUGGCUGGCUUGUCCUUUGAUUCCCCCCAACUUUUUUCAUUUUUAAGCCACUGAUAAUCAACUAUUUCGAAUAAAUUAGACUGAGAAUUAGUUAGAGUAUUCAUUCAAAGAAAAGAUUUGAGAUUGAUUAAAUAUGAUUAAAAUUUUACUUGAAUUGGAUCAAUUACAAUUUUGAAAACUUUGAGAAAAGAUAAUUGUAGAAUUAUGAGCCAAUUUCUCAUUAAAUAUAAAAAGUGUUUUUGGAAAAGUAGUUCUAAAUUUGUUAAUAGUAUAGUAUAUGAAAUAUGUAAAUUUACAUUAUAAUAAAAAAUAUAUUUUUUAAGAUUCAAAUAAUAAUCUUAUAUAGAAUUCAACACUAAUCGAAUCCAACUUGAGUGAAAUGUUUUAUUGAUUAAAAAUUAGGUUGUGGAUUGAUAUGGAUUGUUGUCAAUGCAGGAAGAUAUGGAGUCAAAUGCGCUGAAACGCAUUAUCCUCCUACUUUUCAGUUUAGCAAACCCUAUUAAAAUUGCCCUAAUAUAUUUUGCUAAUUAAAAAAAUAAUAGAAUAACCAAAUUGAUUGAAUUAACUUCUAAUCUUAUAAUUUAAUAAAUUUCAUUUAUAUUAUAUGUCGUGCUAACAACACACAAUAAUCAGAAAAAAUCAAUACUUUCAUUUGUUAUAUUAUUAUUUUUUCUUGUAAAUUCAAUUAUUGAGAAUACAGCACAUGAUUUUUCAAAAUGGGAUCCAAUAAGAAAAUAUACAGUACAAGUACAAGCACAAGCAAUGGCUAUGCAUAAUGCAUGAUUAUGUGUUGGGCCACUAUACAGAUUUUUAGCUAAAUUAUUUUAACUCAAUCUCAAUUCUAAAAUUGUUUAUGUAAACAAAUAUUAUUUUUAAAUCAUUUUAAUUAAUUUUUGAUAGCCUCAAAUAUUAAGAAAAUAUUUUUAAAUUUCUUUAAUAAUACUCAAAUUUAAAAUAUAGAAAUUAAAAAAAUAAUCAAGAGGUUAUUGACAGAAAGAUUAAAUGUUAAGAUUAUUAUAAUAUAAAAAAUUAUGAAUAUUGCAUUAAAAAGAUUAAUAUGAACACGAAUUUGUAGUCCAACUAAGCUACAUCUCAUUCCUUUUCAAACUUUUUAAAUGCUUUUGCAUGUUCUCCAUUAAUGUAUAUGAAUUUAUCAAAAUAAUUGAUUUAGGAAAUAUAUUUGAUUUAAAAAUAAUUGAAAUGAAUUUCUAUUUUAAGCAAUACAUUACAUAUAAAAAUUUAUAUUUUUUAAACAUUACAUAAAAUAUUUAAAUGAGAAUUUCCUACUUAAAAAAUAGGUUAAAAUAUGCAAUAAGUCUCUACAAUAUUUAUAAAAUUAGAAUUUAAUCAUUAUAUUUUAAUUUUUAAAUUUUUUUUUUCUUCUUAAAUUUUAAAAUUCGGUUGCGAAUUUUAAAAUUAGAAAAAAAAAUAACUUAAUAAUCAUGUAACUGAAAAAUAAUAUUAUAAUAAACCUAAAUUUAAUAAACUAAUUUUAAUGUUAUCUGAUUGAACUUAAAUUUUAAAAUAAAAAAAUAAAAUUCUAAAUUUAUAAAAAUAAAAAAUUUAUAUCAUAUUUUAACUAAAAAUAUAAUAAGUUUAAAUGUCUCAUUCAAAUUAAGAUUUAGUAUGUAAAAUUUGAUUUUUUUUCCAAAAAUUGAAUUGAUAUCGUUUAAUUAAUGAUAUUAAGUUCAAUCACAUACUUUAUUAUUUAGUUUUUUUAAAAAAGUAUAUAUUAUUUUAUUUUUUAUAUCAUAUACCUUUUUUUCCCCUAGUGUUCCCUUCGCUUCCCCAGAGAAAGUGAGUUCAAGAAGCUCCAAAAAUCGUUGCUAAUGGAUGCUUCCAUCUAUGCCACCUUCAGUUCCAAAAAUAUCUCAUAGAAAACGAACUCAAUCCCCAUUGUAGCCCAGUUCUAUAAACCAAAAUCUCCCCAUUGCUUAAUUAAUCACUUUGCAACUAUAAUUUCUUUAUAUAUAUUUUUCUUCACCCGUUUAUUAGAUUUCUUCAAUUUCCUGUUACUGGGUUUCGAUCUCUCAGUGCAGAAAAACUGUUUGACCCCUUUUUUUUUUUGCAAGAAAUUGAGUUAAUUUUUGUUACAAUAAAAACUUAUUUCUAUAUUAAAAAUUUGGGUUACUUUUUGAUUCAAUGGAAAAGACUAGGUGCAAUGGGUAUGGAUUGGGAUCCAGAUUGGAUCUCUUGGGUUUCGUUAAUUGUUAUUAAUUGUUUUGUUUGUUUAAUUUAGUCUUUGUUUUUGUUAAACUUGUUCUUUGUGUUUUGUACUUCUUGUUUUCCGAGCUUUAUUUUCAGCCUUUUAUUUUCAUUUUUUGUUUUCUGGGUUUGUUCGUUUGGUAGGAAUUUAGAAUGAGGUACAAUGGUUAAGGGUUUACAACAAAUAUUUUCAUUAGUACCUGAGGGUUUUCAUGGGUUGAACUCAACAGAAUAAUAUGGAUAGUUUGAGGGAAGACGAGGAAUGUUCAUUUUUUGAUGCUAAUGAACACAUUGGAACAAUGUCUGGUUUACAUUCUGAUUCGAAUUCUGGUUUUGAUAAUUGGUCUGAGAGUUGUUUCGAUGUAUGGAUUCGUAGCCCUCAAAGUGUUAACGAACGCCGCAUUAAGUUUUUCGAUUGGAUGGGAGAUAGUUUAGACCGAAUUUCGUUCAAGAAUUCAGUAGAUGAACCUAGUUUGGAAGGAGAAUUUAGCAGGGUUAUGGAAACUAGUGAUGCUGUUUUGAGAACACGAGGCUCCGAAGAGUUCUCUUCGAGCCGGUCUUCAAUGUCUUGUUGGUCUAAUGAUAAUCUUGAUUUGUCUGAGGAGUCGAGUUCGUGUGAUAAGUUUGUAUGUAGGGAAGGAAAUGAGGAUUGGGGAGAACAGUGUGGUGUUGAUGAAAAGCUUCAAGAUGGGGAGGGAAUUGAAGGUUGCGAAACGAAGGUGGAUCAGUUGGUAAAUGGCGAAAACAGCUCCACGUCUGAGAUCCCUUGUGUGUCAAUGACCUCAUUGCAACAAGUUACGGAGAGGAAAAUGGAGAAGCAGAAUAAAACCGAGAGAAUGCCGAAGAAAGCUAAGAACCGGUGGUUAAGUAAAUUGAUUACACGUUUCCUGGAUAAACAGGUUGAAGAUGAUUCAUUGAGUGGUAACAGAGAUAAUUCAGUUUGGGGGAAUAAGGUUCAGAGGGUUAAGGUUCAUCAAUGCAGGAAAAGAACAAAGGAACUUUCUGCACUUUUAAAGGGACAAGUUAUCCAGGCUCAUGAAGGUUCAAUUUUGACGAUGAAAUUCAGUCCUGAUGGACGGUACCUAGCUAGUGCCGGUGAAGAUGGCGUUGUACGAGUAUUGCAAGUGGUGGAGGAUCAAAUGAGCAUCGACCUUGAUAUCCCAGAGAUGGAUCCUUCCUGUUUAUACUUUACGGUGAAUCAUCUUUCUGAAGUGAAACCCCUCGUUGUAGAUAAGGUAAAAGAAGGCAAUAUAAGAAUCCCGAGGAAGACAUCUGAUUCUGCGUGUGUGAUCUUCCCUUCCAAAGCUUUCCGGCUAGUCGAGAAACCAUUACACGAGUUCCAUGGACACACUGGUGAGAUCUUGGAUCUCUCAUGGUCCAACAAAAAUGUGAGUGGAACAGAUUUACGUACAUGUUUCUAGAAAGGGAAAACAUAAAUUUUCAUCUUAUAUGUCUCCGUUUUGUGUUCCGUGUUUCAGGUCCUGUUAUCUUCCUCGGUUGAUAAAACCGUUCGUAUGUGGCAAGUUGGAUGUGAUGGUUGCCUCAAAGUAUUUUCUCAUAGUAAUUACGGUGAGCUUCUAUCAUUAAACUUAUGUUGUAUUUUGGUGCAUGAUCUUGUUCUGAUUUCUGAUAAAGAAUUACCUCUUAUAUUAUGAUGCAGUAACCUGUGUUCAGUUUAACCCUGUGGAUGACAAUUUCUUCAUUAGUGGUUCAAUAGACGGAAAAGUGCGCAUUUGGUCAAUUUCUGGCUGCCAGGUUGUUGACUGGAUUGAUGUAAGAGAUAUAGUUACUGCAGUGUGUUAUCGCCCGGAUGGACAGGUUUGCGUGAUUUUCUUCUAGUGGUUUAGAAUCACACAGUUGAGCACUUUGAACUUCGAGAUAAACAAUCUCUUUUUCUAUUUAUGCAGGGAGGAAUUGUUGGCUCAAUGACUGGCAGUUGCCGCUUUUACGAUAUGUUAGGUAUGCUUCCUUUGAUAGGGAUUCUUAUUUGUUCAUGGAUUGACCUAUAUUCAUCAGUUUUAUGAAUCAUAUACAUCAAUCUAUAGGCAUAUGCAUUUUUGGUCUGUUUCUCAAAAUCCUUAUGCUUGGGUUUGUUCGUUUGUGCCUACCUGGGGUUGGAUAUAAAUUGCUUCAGUUUAAGUGAUCUAGAAGUAGUAUCUGAAAGUUUUUCUAGGCAUAGGCUUUAGAAAUAUGUUUCUUUCAUUAAGCAGAUUUUACAGUUGGACUGAUUCUUAAGAAAACCGAUUUUGUGUUGCUUUUUCAGACAAUCAAUUGCAACUGGGUGCUCAGAUAUGGGUAAAUGGGAAAAAGAAGUCGCCCUGCAGAAGGAUAACUGGCUUGCAGGUAGUUCUUCUCAUCCUCGGUUUUGAAUUUUGAUCACCAUAGGCUUAUCAUAAAAACCAAGAUGUGCAGUUGUCAAUAAUGUAUUAUUCAUUCCAGUUUUUGUCUCAAGAUCCGAGCAAAGUAAUGGUAACUUGUGCGGAUUCACAAGUCAGAAUUCUUCAAGGACCAAACGUGAUUGGCAAAUACAAGGGUAUGUUCCCACUGUUCUCUAAACUCAUGACCGUGCAAUUUGAUGCCUUAUUCGUAUUUUUCCCCAACUUAAGCUGUCUCUUUUUUUUUUUCAGGUGCACAUAACAACGGGAACCAGACAUUUACGUCAAUAACAGCAGACGGGAAGCACAUUGUUUCAGCUUGUGAUGAUGCUAAUGUAUAUAUAUGGAAUUGCGUUCAUCAGGAUAAGAAUAGUAUCUCUCAGUCUAAAGAUAUAAGAUCUUGUGAACACUUCUCUGCUAGUGCAUCCAUCGCGAUCCCUUGGUGUGGCCUGAAAUAUGGGAACACAGAAAAUAGGCAGUUUGAAGUACCACACGAGGAUUUACCUCAUGACCUUCCAUUUUCGUUACCUUCUUAUUUCUCUAUGGGCCAUGAAUAUUCUUCAGAGUCUUUACCUAAGGGAUCUGCAACAUGGCCGGAGGAAACACUUCCUCCAUCCAGUCCAUUGUCAAUGCCGUCUUCAAUCCAUAAAUCCCAGUACAAGUUUCUGAAAACUUCCUGCCAGAGUACAUUUGAUUCUCACGUUUGGGGUCUCGUUAUAGUGACAGCAGGAUCAGACGGUAGAAUCAGAUCAUUCCUCAAUUACGGUUUACCAGUACCCGUGUGAAAAUACCAGUAGAAUUUGGUCCCAACAAGUGGCUGCUUUUAUACGGUUGCAACAAAAUCCUUCUUGGAACGAGUGUGUGACUGAGGUUAGCUUAUCUGGAUAUCCAGGUUAACUUCAUAAUUGAUUUGUUACUCGAGAAAUCUUUUGUCUGCUCGCCUGGAAAAGAUUACGCAUGUCAUGUGUUGAAAGGCAAUUGAGAUAUAUUAUAUGCAUAAUGCAGGCAUCUGUAGCCUGUAGGACCAUGUAAACCAACCUCUUCCUUUUGUUGAUCUUAAAUUGGAUUAGAAAUCAGAGCUGGUGGCUGCGGUUCGUUCCGGGGAUAAAAAAUGGUGGGGGUGCUGCUUUGAAUGAUUGAUUUGUUUGUCUGCCAUUUUAGGUCUGCCUCAUGGUAGGGGCCAUUCAAACCUGUUCAUGGAUUCGGGAAUUUGCCAGGCUUUAUUUUUCACCGAACCGGCUUCCGUGCUUCCUUGUAAUGCUUGAAUGCCUACCGGUUUGGUCACUGUUGCGGUUAUGGUUAAUAAUUCUUUGCUAACACAUUCAUAGUAACAUCUUGUAGAGUUACUUCAUUUUUUCCCCCUUUUCUCUUUUGUUGAAGACUGGCCUGGAUUUAGGCGCACAUGUAUUUAAUCAACAGUUGUAAAUUAAUUCAGUAUAUAUGUUGUAGCAUUCAUUUGACAAAGAAUCAAGAAGCUUUACUUUAGUUUUGAAUGUCCAUGUUAUGUUUAUUAUUUAUUUAUGAUUUUCAGCUAAUGCUGAAGAUUGAACUUUUCGAAAAUUUUUAUUUAAGCCGUUGAACAGUUAAAAUCAUGAUUGUAUGGCUGUUUGUAUUGCCUACACCAAUUGAAAAUUUUUUCUUCCCCUUCUCUUCUAUGGUUUAGUUUUUUUUUAUGAAACAGCUAUGAAUGUCACGAAUAUAUAAAUCUAAAUCCAAAUAGCUUUCUUUUCCAAUCUCUGGCAUUGAUCAUCAGAUCGGUUCGGAUCUAAUGUAUGUUCUUACUUGUUGAUGGAUACUAAUCUACCGUACCGAUCAUUAAAUCAUCGUUUGGAGCUCGCUAGUCGGACCUAAAACAAAACCUUUAACAACUCAAUUACUUAAAUAAAAACUUUCAAACAAUUCAAUUACCAUUUCAUAAUUUUUUGAAGUCAAUACUCUAUACAUUCAUAUGUAUAUAUGUUACAAAGAUUGAUUACAAAUUCAACUGACAAAAUUUGAUAUGUAUGUAUGUAAAAGGUGUAGCCUUCUAUCACUGAAUUGUGGUAGAUAUGGUUGUUGAUGAAUGUAAACAGGAAGAAACAUAUGGUCUUAUUACAAAAGAACCAAAGUGUGUUAUUACAUCACAUUGGCAAAACACAAGAAUCCAAGGCCAGAGACAAAAAAACAUCCAAGGAUCGUAUAAUAAUAUCAAUUAAUUUCAAAGUUGAAGCAUAUGCCGUUAAUGUUAGAUCGAAGCCAUCACAUCAUGAUGCAAGUGAUGUUUUCCUAUACCGAUUAAAUCAAAUGUUUAAUGUAAUUUUAUCGUCAUUUUUAAUUAAAUAUGUAGUUUAAUAAUUUACUCAAUUUGUAAUUAUUUAAGUUAUUAUUUUAUAUCCAUUUUUAAUAAACCCCGGCCCAAAUGAAUGCAAUGCAUUGGAUCAGCCAAUCAUCUCCCUAAUAGCUCAUAAGAACAAAGCCCAAAACAGAAAAAGCCCAGAGCUUUUCUUUCAGAGUAUGAAUUUUGAUUGCGUCAAUUAAUCCACCAUAUGAACAAAGCCAAUAUCGAUAUUAAAACCCAGAAUUGCAAAGCUUUCGAAUGAAUUUCAGGUAAGAUUUACCAAUCUUAGCGAACAACAUACCGGAGAUUCACAUUCCUCCGAUCAAAUUAUUUAGCGGUGAGAAUUUCAUAGACAUCCAAACUAAGAAAAAAAAAGAGUCAAACAACCAGAAAAAGGCUUACAUCAAAAUUCACAGUAUUAAAAAGAACUAAAGACAAAAAAUUCGAAACCCUAGAAACAAUACGCGAUCCAUGACCUAAACAGGGAGAUUAACGACGUCGUUUGAAGGAGUGUUGUUGUUGUUGUUAGGGAUAGAGGUGACUGAUAAUGAAGAGAUGGAGGAACAAUUAGUGAACAUGAGAGGGAGAUCAUGAGCCUCGGAAUCAUCGGCAUCAUCGGAGGUGGAAAGGUUAAUGCAAGAGCAACGCUCGAGAGACGCGAAGAAAGCUUGGGCCACGCUGCUUCCCAACCACGCCGCCAUGUAAGACAAACAGCUGCCUUCACUGUUCUGCAUUCUAAGGAUUAUCUGAUUGAUUUGGGGGGGGGGGGAGUGAAGUGAGGAUCUGAAAGAAGCUGUUUUGAUUUUGAAUUGAACUUUGUUGAUAAUAAUCCCCAAAAUCAAAAUCUGGGGGUAUUUUUUGAAUUUCAAAGCCCUAAACUUGAAGAUGAAGCGAUCGGUCAAUUGACUCUAUAAAGGUAAAAGCGACGGACUUUGUCUCCUGCAAGUUACCUUCUUUCUUUUCCUGUUUUUAAUUAUAAUUUUUCCCUUAAAUUGUAGUGUUCUUUUUUUAAGGGGGUUAAUUAGUAAUUACGUUAACUAAUGGGUCAAGGCUUGUGGGCUUGGUCGGGGUUGUUUGGUCCAUAGAUUAUUCAUAUUUUAGAUAAUUUAUUUUUUUUCCCACAAGAUCAUUUAAUUUAUUGAUAACUUUUAGUUUUAUCAAUUUAUUUUACGGUGAGUAUUUGAUAUACUAAUAGUGUAUUUUUUUUAUUUCACUAGUAAUUUUAAAAUUUUGAAAUACAUUUUUUAGUUAUAAGAUGCUAGUCAACCUUUUAACUCUGCCUAUAAAGUCUAAAAACUUCACUAACAAUAUACUAAAUAAUUU
This 69851-nucleotide long non-coding RNA is filed under the name Gossypium raimondii (Peruvian cotton). The record is from RNAcentral. Lineage: Eukaryota; Viridiplantae; Streptophyta; Magnoliopsida; Malvales; Malvaceae.